UUCACCUAAGCGCAUUAAUUUAUAAACAAAUCUCUGGCAAGACCGCGAUAGUAACCAUUUCUUCAAUAAUGGAUCUCCCACAUCUUCAACCACCAUUAUAGCAGGUAAUGCCAGUUUUAUCAAAUAUUUUGAUAAUGCAGACGCACACACAGACAUACACAACACUAUCUUUUCUACUAAUGCAAAAAUCCAAUCAAUAAUUCUCCUCUUUCCUACACACACACACAUAUACAUACAUGUGUUAAUGUAUGUGUGUAUAUAUAUAUAUAUAUAUAUAUAUAUAUAUAUAUAUACAUACAUUCACUCAUAUAUAUGCAUAUAUAUAUAUAUAUAUAUAUAUAUAUAUAUAUAUAUAUACACACAUACAUUAACACAUGUAUGUAUAUGUGUGUGUGUGAAUGUAUGUAUAUAUAUAUAUAUAUAUAUAUAUAUAUAUACACACACUCGCACACACACACACACAUACAUGUACAUAUGUGUGUGCGUAUGUAUGUGUAUGGAAUAUUUUAAUCAAGGAUAAUCUGUCAAAUUUAAUGAGUGAUCGAGGUUUUUUGUGGUUUGUGAGUGAGCAGGAAGAGAGAGAGCAGAGUGUGGAGAAAUGAAUAGAAUUCCGCGAGGGUGGAGAAGGAUAAUUUCGGACAGUGCCCGUAACCUGAAAGAGGAGCAUUAUUGACCAACUUUAGCUGCUGCUGCUGCUACUACUACACAUUAUUAUAUACUUAGCUUACUUAUUAUACACACAUAUAUAUAUUAUAUAGGUAUAUAUGUAUGUAUAUAUUAUAUAUAUAUAUAUCAUAUACAUAGUUUAUAUAUAUAUAUAUAUAUAUACAUAGAGAGAGAGAGAGAGAGAUUUGUGUUGUUUAGCCCUAGGUCAUCCCUUAUCAAGUAAUCUAAGAUCAAAUUUUAUACACCCUCCCCAAAAUUGUGACCUUGUGCCUAAUUAGAGAUCUAUUAUUAUUAAUUGUUGUUAUUGUUAUUAUUAUUUUUAUUAUUAUUAUUAUUAGGAUUACAUUUUUUUUUCAGGCAUAAUGUAUCUAGGACUAAAUUAUUCAAUAUCUUUAAGAGAGUCUGUGGUUUGUCUGUUAUUUGAAUCGUGUCGAGUCGACAUGUAGACGUUGUUGUGUGUGGUUGACCCAGCUCGAUCGCAGUGUUUUCAUAUUUCUACACACAAUGAAUACCUUUAGGUUUCUACGAAAAUGUUCAAGAGUCUUCCUAGCAAUAACCUCCUAAUUAAAGGUGGAAUGGCCUGUUACUAGUUGGUUUGUGUGAACGGUGUGUGCCACAAACAAUAACGUCCAUUAAUUCGUGCCACAGCAGUUUAAACGUGAAACGGAGGAGGUCGGGGAAGAAGUGGCGGCGGAUUUUUCUGUCAGAAUUUAACAAACUAAUUUCAAGCACCUGUGUGUGUGUGUACACAUACACAUGUGUGUGUAUGUAUACGUCUAAAUGUAUGUGGUAGGGCGUAUGUGACUAGUGGCUGUCAUUGUUGGUGAUUAACUGCCGGAAUUGAAAGUUGUUUGUGAAAUAAUGAAUCUCUCUCUCUCUCUCUCUCUCUCUCUCUCUCUCUCUAUAUAUAUAUAUAUAUAUAUAUAUAUAUAUAUAUAUAUAUAUAUCUUCUAUCUUUCUAAAUGUGUGUAUGUGUAUAUAUAUAUAUAUGUAUGUAUACAUGUACGAUAUUUUUCUCUUACUGUUUAAUCUUUGUUUCUGUAACCUUUUAUUUUCCCAUUUUAUGGGAAAGGAAAGGGUGACAGAAGCAGGGGCAAAAAUCAGGUACGAGGCAAGGGCACACGCACGCACACACACAUAUUUUUCGUGUGUGUGUGUGAAGAACAAAUAUUUAUAUAUAAUUAUUAACGUCACUGUUUUAAUGUCCACUUUUCCAUGUUUGCAUGGAGCAGACGAAAUUCAUUGGCGCAAUUUUUUUUAACGACCGGAUGCCUUUUCUGUUGCCGAUGUUCACCUGUUUCCAAUAUCUAAAUCACUUCAUUCCCUGUGUACGCUUGGUAAGACAUUCCUGAAGGACUGCUGCACUCUGAUGCACAGCAGUGUAUUACUUCUUCAGAUACAUAUACAACGUGGAUGUCACUCCCUCUGUGACCUCUGUAGAACUCGCAGAGCUGGCCUUGGAUUUUUCUCGUCCAUCAUCAUUAGCUCCAUCAUUCAAUAUGCUGAUCACUCUAUGGAUAGCCAGUAUAUGAUGCUGUAACCCAUCUAAUGAAGCAUUAUUCUGAGAUUUAACAUCAGUCGCCCUUCCCAUCCCCUAUUAAAAUGUACAGAGCGCAUCAGGUAACUUCACAUAAAUCUCACCUCCAGUUUGAAUAGUUGUACUUGGAUGUCUCCACUCAUACAAUAACACAGAUCUACUGCACCAACUCCAGCCUGGCCUGACCAUAACAACAUGUUUUAGCAGAGCACCACCUCCUUUGGACAGGUACACUCUCUUUCAGCUAUGGUUUAGCUUAUUCUAUGAUCUCUCUCCUAUGAAUUAGUGCCUGAUCUUCCAGCCUCUACCCUAAUCUCUCUAUAGUUACUCACCUAAACCCUCACUCCAUCGUGGUGAAAUAACCCUUGCAAAUGGUGUAUCACAUCUUCCACCGACUGCUUCCAAUUGCUUCUCAUUCGAAUCUCUUCCCUCUCAUGCACACCUGCUGUGGGGUCUGUUGCCUAACACACCUGUCACAGCUUCUAAUCCCCUUCCAAAACAUUCUCCCUAAUGACACCAGAAUCAAUCGUUCUGGCCACCCCAUAUGAAGCAUAUUGUGGUUCCUCUCUAACUGCUGGUCCCUUGAGUACUACACUGCAGUCACUUGCCUCUCUAAAUCUUCUGGUACUUCCAUUGAGGUUUUCCUCACCCUAGCAAGACAUCUUCUUUAUUUUUCCCUGAGGGUACAAUAACUAUUCACAGCUGCAAGUCAGAUUCCUUGAUCAACUCCCUUAGGGUCUCCAGAUGUCACUUUACUAUCAUUUCUGCCACCUUCUUUGUUCAAAUUCUCUUUUUACAAGUAAUUGUUGAUCCCAUCCACCCAAGCACAGUCACUGAAUCAGUUCAGAUUAGGACAUCUCACAACUAUAUUUGUUCUUUUCACCAUGGCAUCCAGUUUGGCCCCAUUGAUAUGGUUGCAUUUGUCUUUCUUUCUAAGUCAGCCUCUAUCCUCUGCCUUCCACUUCACCUAUUUCCAAGACAAUUCCCUCCCAUUGAUGUGCUACUAGCAUCACACCACCCAACACUCCUUUCAGACUCGAUACAUUUCAAUUUCCUCUCACUAGAUUUUCCUUUUUCACCCUCUCCUAGAUAUCCUUCAUUGUUGCAAUUGUCUUCUCUCCAACUUUCUCUCACCAGCCUACUCCACCUGAUCCCCUCUUUACAUAUCUACAUGCAGUUCAUAGUCACCCAGUGAUAGGGUAGUGGCCCACCAAUCACCUGCAUAUUGUAAACAGCUCUUGAUGACUUAGAUUUCCAUUUCCUCUCUGAAACACUAGCUCACCUCCUUACCUGUCUUUCCUCAGCCUCAGUCCCAAUACCACCCUUCCUACCAAAGAUUCUGCUAGUUUUGCUGCCACCCCAAACUUCUUUAGAUGACCCACAACUUUUGUUGCUGUCACCACCAUCUUGUUCAUCAAUAGGAUUCUCUAUAGGAUUUAGUGGCACCUUUCAUUUUAACUCUCCCAAUAUCACCCUGAAGAUUGUUGCCAUGAUCUUUGGCUCUCAGUUCAGUCUAAAUCUCAACUUGUACUUCACCUGCUGAUAAAUGUUUUGGCUACAUGAUGUGGUAGAUAGGCUGACUUCAAAUCUACACCCAUAGAAGCUACCACCAUCUGUCUCCAUUCAUUUAUGGCCUCUUCACCAGUAUUACAUGUUAUAUGGUCAUUCAGCUCCCACAAAUCCUACACUGGCCUGACUUUAUUCUUUAUUCGUUGAACAACUGCUAUUAGUGGCAGCUCCCAAUUCUCCACUUCUUCUUCCCAAGACAUUAGAAUACCUUCCUUAAUCCACCUCUCUGCCUCCUUCUCAAAUUUGGCUCUCACCCCCACUUUUAAAAUGUCUUUAUAGUAGCUUGCUUCAUUCUUCAAUACUAGAGAGGCUCACCAUUCCUGAAGCAUUUGACUGUCUAUUGCUUGCCACCAAACACAGUUUGGAAACCCUUGUCCUUAAUCUUACAAGGAACAUCCACUGCUCCUUGGAUUAUUUUGACAAGAGCUCUGACUCUUCUACAGUAUAUUCACAGCACAUCAUGCCCCUUCAAACUCUACCCUUUCCUCACUGACCAGAAUUUUUGCUAACCUGAUCGUAUCCAUCUCCAAUCCAAUAUGUUGGUGUAUCAGAACCCUCUAACUAUCAAUUGCUUUCCAUAUACCAUCAACUCAUCAGCACUGGAACCCUUAAAAGGAACUUUCUUCCCAUCAAAUGCUCACCACACCCCAGCUAUCUAUCAGACUUGAAGUCACUUGAAGGUGGUUCUGCAGCCUCUAUCAUCCUCUAUCAUCUGCUGCUUUUAUCAGAUAUUCCACCAAAGGCAACAAAUGGUGUACCCCCACUUGACAGGAUAGCUGCCAGCAUCCUUCAUUUUCCUGAUUCAAGGUUAUCACUAUAUGACCAGUCAUCUAGUUACAUCAAUACCAGAGCAAUUCCAAUUUGGGCUCCUUGCCACUUCUGACCAUGUGCAGCCAACAACAUCUGAACCCUUACCUUUGAAUUGUUACACUCACUCCUUUUUCUCUUCCAACCCCUUACUGCUUUCAUCUUGCCAUCUCAUUGCACUUUGACCUACUGUAGCUGCUGCCACAUCAUUAGCUCAGGUCUCUAAAUCCCCUGUAGCCAUGGUCUCAAAGUCUGGCAACUACUAUAGUCCUAUCAAAAUAUGAUCAAGGAAACCUGUCAUAAAUGCCAGCCUAACUGUCCUCUCCAGCCCUUUUCCAGAGUAUCCAGCCAGUUCCACUAACCUUCUGACCUUAUUGAACACACCUACCUGUUUCCCAGCCCAUCUCACUCUUCCCAGCCUGUCAUUGGCCACAAAUGUUCCCUUAAUAAAAUUUCCUUUUAAUUGGCAUCUAUUUCCCCCCACAUCUACCUGGGUUUCUUCAUUCAUAUCUGGAUGCAGUCACAAUACUGGUUUCUCUAAAUCACUGAUUCCCUGUAGUUGCACAAUCGACCUAACCUUCUCCCCCCAUAUCACUUCAUCUCUUUCUCUCUCUCCCCCCUCUAAAUGGUCUUAUCACCUUGCACAUGCUCAUGUAGUUGUGAGCUGAAUAAGCUUGUAAGGAGGAUUAGGUGAACAGAGAAAAACAACUCAAGGCAUCAAGCGACAUCACAGAAGGAAGAAGUUUGUUCCAUGUGCAGAUUGUUUCUUACACACUCCUUGUUCUCCCCAUCUGCACUAACUACUGACACCUGGUUCUGUUAAAAAAAAAUGGAAGGACCCCUACACGUGGCUGACUUUGCCUUCAUUCCCACCACAUCACCUACUAUCUUAGUUUAUAACAUCACACACACACAUCAUAACUUCUAAACACUACCCUUGUGUCGAAGUACCUUUUGCCAAGAGUGGAUUGUUUUUCUGAGUAACACUGCAUAUCACUCAUCUGUGUAUGGUCGUUUGUCAUUUCCUAGCCAAUGCAGAUCAGUCUUCAUCACUUUGACCCAGGAAAAGGAGACUAAGUCUUUCUUAGUCUCCCUCUUCUGUAGAUUCCACUGACUUGAAGUACUUGGUACUUCCUUACACAGCAGUCAUCCUCUAUACAUAUCACAGACCCAGCACAGCCUCCUCUCUUUUGCACACCUCAUUCCUCUUGUACUCAGUUUUUCUCUUACCUUAUUUGUACUGUGGUAUUCAUGCCCACUAACAUUACACAUCAACUGCAGCAUGCUGUCUUCAUAUCUGUCAAGUUCUCACAAAAGUCUGCAUUCAAGGCUCAUGUCUUGCUUUCAUGCAGUAUUGCAGUUUUAACACAAGUAUCUUGCAAUCUGCCUUUCACUCUGAGGGCAAGACCUUUAUUGCUUGCAGUGGUAGGAGCUCAGUGAACUUUUUCCAACCCAUUCUCACCUUGGUUACUACAUUUUCUGGACCACCGCCACUGCUAAUCAUGUCUUCUAGGUAACAGAAGCUAUUGAUAACUUAUACUGAGUCAGCCAAGCAUUUAAGAGAACCCCUAUCCUAUGGACUCAUAGUAUGCAACACUCCAGCUCUUGAUCAUUGUGUCCAACACCCCAGUGCAGGUGAUGGGUUUGACCCUGAAACCCUAUGAGAAGUGAGGUGAAAUCACAUAGGUACAUGUCCCAUCUUAUUUGAAAUAAAUCUUCCUUUCAUUCCCAAAUACUUCAAAUGUGAGGUAGGAUGGAUUUUUGCUGUAAAUUCCAUUGAAUGGCAUCAGCCACAUUGCUGUCAAAGACAACUGGUUGAAUUAUCCAAUUAAACUUAAUGCUAAUGAUGUACACUCUACUACAACCCAUGUUAUGUUCACAGAAACAUUCUCAGUUGUUCAGUUAAGUGCACUUGCGGUGAUCAACAGAACCAUUUAACUUAAAUGCAGCCUCGUUGCACUAAAAUCAAUUUUGUUUGAAACCACAUCCUCUGUACUGUGUGUGCCUGCUACCAUUGUGAAAUUCAACUCUUUUGGUUGGAAUCUUCUUUGUUGUAACCAUAGACUAAUGUUGGAAUAAGGCUUUUUUUAAUGGAAACACUUCAGAUGCCUUGAAAGAAAGGUGAAGUGAAAAGGUGGUGGUAGAAGAUACACUUGUCCAAAAUUAUUCUUUGUUAUGUGGAUGGCAUGGUGUAGUGAAUAGGAAAGAGAGAGAAAAUGUAUGAUGGGAACAGCAAAUGGAGGCUUCACAAGGCUGAAUUAAGCAAGAGAUGCGAUUCUAGAUAUUUACACCUCCCAUCUUGUGUCACAACCAAAAUUACAAUGCUUCAUUCACCAUGCUUGCUCGGGUGGAAUGGGUUUUCUCAAGCAUUGCAUAUUACCAGUCAUCAUGGUCGUUUGGUAUCUUCUUUGUGAGGCUCACCAUCAUGGUACUGGUCUUCACCAUUUUGUUUCAUGUUUUCCUGGCUCUUCUUUCAAACUUCCAUUCACUUUGUGUGUUCUACACUGCUUUCUACAGUUGUCAUUCCUUCCCCACCCCCAUAUACACCACAUGCUCACAUCAGUGCAAUCUUCUCUCUCGUACACUUAGAACCUUAAAUCUCUUAUAUCUAGUUUUUUUUCUCCUCUCAACUCAUCUGUGUUACAUCAUUCAUUCAUACUGACAUUCCACAUCCAGUAAGCCAUACUAACUUCAUUGCUUUCUAGUUUUCACAAGUUUUUCUACAUUCAAAACCCAUGUCUUGUUGUCAUGAAGCAUUACAGUUCAUACACAAGCAUCAUACAAUCUGCCCUUCACGUUGAGGAGAAACCCUUUCCAACAGAAGUAACAGCUCCUUGAACUUUUUCCUUUACAGAUUAUCAACCUCGUCCUCCUCCUCCUCUAUUUCAACUAGACCAUCUCUAAAUCUAUGUCUAACGCAGCAAUCUUUCCUUUCCCAAUCCUUUCUGUGUUGUGUCCCUGAGGCUGUCUAGCUCUUACUCUGAUUACUGUGUUUCGAUACACCCACCACCACCACCACUGUGAAUUAGGUCACCUAGGUAACCAAAUUCACCAACUACUUCUAGGGUACCCCCAUCCAUGUCACUUAGGUAACAGAAGUUAUCUAUAAAGAGAUUCUCCUCUGCAUUCAGGACUAUCUCUUUCUUAUGCAGUCUUAAGUUUAUGGCUCCAGCACAUCUGCUGCAUACAAAAUUUACUUUGUUAACCUACCUGUGAUUCCUUUGUACCUCUUGUAUGUCCAUAGUUUGCAUUGGGUACAUCACGUAGAAUUUCUACCUACUCUUCCUUUUCUACAUAUUGAGCAAGGGCAACUUUGAAGCUCUUUAAUUCAGAUUUUGCUUCCAUGCCUGAAAUUUCUUCCCUAAUCUAAUCCUACAACAGAUUCAUCUAUAAGAAUGAGGUCAUCAGUAUAUAAGAGUUCCCACAGAUACCCAAUCUUAAACUCCUCUGUUCUGGACAACAGUGAUAAAUAGAAGAGGACUGAGCACUGAACCUUGGAGGAUUCCUACCUUCACACUAAAAUCAUUAUUGCAUUAAUUACUAAUUCUGACUUAGCUGACAGCUCUGUACAUGGCUUGUACGGCUCUUAUAAGCUAUUCAUCUACUCCUAGCUUCCACAGCAAAUACCACAUCGCAGAAUAAAGGACCCUGACAAAGGCUUUCACCAGGUUCACAAAAACCAAGAAUGGUGGCUUACUCUUAGUUAAGUACUUCUGCAGUUGUCUCACUAGGAAUAUGGCAUCAGUGCUAUUUCUUCCUAACCAAACUGCAUUUCAUCUAGGCUAACUCUCUACCCAAUCAGCUGAGCUAUGACUUUCUUGGCCUGGUCUAACAAUUUGACAUCCUUGAAAAUACCUCUCCUUGUUCAUACACAGGCAUCAUACAGUCUGCCUUUCACUCUGAGCAAGAGGCCCUUUGUUCACCUUCCACGCACAAAAACUAUUUUCCUUAUUAACUUUCCUCUGAUAUUGCUGUGCCUCUUAUGUGUCCAAAGCUUACACCAGGUGCAUCUUUUGGAGUUUCUAUCUACGCCAUUCCUACAGAUUGAGUAGGGCCAUCUAUCUGAAGGGAUUUGUGAUUUGUCUGCUUUCCUACUCUGGUUUUUGCUAAGUUAACUCUAAGGCCCUUCGAUUCAAGACCUUAUUCCACACCUGAAACCUCUCUAGUUCUGGUAGUGAUUCAGCUAUAAGAACAAGGUCAUCAGCAUAGAGGAGCUCCCAGGGGCAGCCUGUCUUGAAUUCCUCUGUUAUUGCCAGGAGGACUAUGAUGAACAAAAGAGGGCUGAGGACUGAUCCUUGGUGAAACCCUACUUGUAUCCUGAAUUCUUUACUAUACUCAUUGCCAACCCUUACCUUACUGACAGCAUCCCUGUACAUGGCUUGUACAGUUCUCACCAACCACUCAUUUAUUCUUAUAGAUAUUUAUAUAUUUACAGAACAACUUUACAUGGCAUAAAAAAUUCCGGAAACUAGGGAAGAGGGCAUGGUAUUUCAGGGCUAACAGCUGUUUCGAGGGGGGGGAUCUUAGAAUUACAAAAUAGUUGUAAUAUUGGCAGAUGGAUUGUGCAAAAUGUCAAGGAUCAGCAACCAGAAAUGGAUGCAUAUAAACAUUACUAUAAAUCCAGCCUUCGUCUUCAGAGUGGAAAGAUAGGCAACUACACACAGAUAGGGGCUACACACAGAGAGGGACAAACAAGGACAGACAGACGGAUUAAGUCGAUUAUAUUGACCCCAAUGCGUAACUGGUACUUAAUUUAUCGACCCCGAAAGGAUGAAAGGCAAAGUCGACCUCAGAACGUAACAGCAGACGAAAUACGGCUAAGCAUUUCGCCCGGCGUGCUAACGAUUCUGCCAAGCUCGCCGCCUUUAACUAGAAAUAGCCUUCUCUCCUAGUUUUCUGUAUGUUUUGCACUCCAUGUAAAUCUGCUCUGUAAAUAUAUAAAUAUCUUUUGGCUUAUACAUGAACGUUCAUCUUCCGAAUAUUUUCAGUUUUUGUUUCUCUCUCUCUAUAUAUAUAUAUUUACAUAAGGGCCUCUCACUCAGGGUGAAAGGUAGACUGUUUGAUGCAUGUGUGCAAACUGCCAUGCUACACAGCAGUGAAACAUGGGCCAUGAAUGCUGAGGACAUGCAUAGGCUUGAUAGAAAUGAAGGUAAUAUGAUCUGCUGGUGGAGGCGCAAUGGCCCAGUGGUUAGGGCAGCGGACUCACAGUCGGAGGAUCGUGGUUUCAAUUCCUAGACCAGGAGUUGUGUGUGUUUAUUGAGUGAAAACACCUAAAGCUGCACGAGGCUCCGGCAGGGGGUAGUGGCGACCCCUGUUGUACUCUUUCGCUCCCCAACUUUCUCUCACUCUUUCUUCCUGUUUCUUGAAUAAUGCUGCGAUGGACCUGCGCCCUGUCCAGCUGGGGGAACACAUACGCCACAGAAACCAGGAAACCGAGCCCAUGAGCCUGGCUAGGUUUGAAAAGGGCGCAUAAAUAAAAAAUGAUCCGCUGGAUAUGUAAUGUUAGUGUGCAUACAUGACAGAGUGUAAGCGCCCUGAGAGAAAAGUUGGGCAUAAGAAGCAUAAAAUGUGGUGCGCAAGAGAGGCAACUGCAUUAGAUGGCCAUGUGUUAGAUAUGAAUAAAGACGUCUGUGUGAGGAAGUAUCACUCUGUAACGUCAAAAGGAACCUGUGGAAGAGGUAGACCAAGGAAGACAUGUGAUGAGGUGACGAAGCAUGACCUUCGAACGUUAAUUAACAAUUAAUGGGCUUAGGCUCAGCUCUGCAUAUACCUUUUACUCUUCUUUCUACAAAGAGAACUUCAUAGAAAUUGCUAUUUAAAUCAAUCUCGCGUGUGUGUGUGUGUGUGUAUAAACACAUUUACAUAAUAAUACAUGGUUAUUUUUCAUAUUACUUGUAUGUUUACGCUUUGAAAAGUUAAUGGAAGACUAUUGGUUUUUACACUUGCUAUAUAUUCUUUCUAUUAAUUAGCAACAUAUCACCUAUCUGUCUAUCUAUAUAUCUUUGUAUGUAUGUGUAUGUAUAUAUUUAUUAUAUAGAAGGAGCUUCUACAGGACUAGUACUGUUUCAUUCAAGAGAAAUCUUCAGGAAGCUUCCUGAAGAUUUCUCUUGAAUGAAACAGUACUAGUCCUGUAGAAGCUCCUUCUAUAUAAUAAAUUAAUUUUACUCUGCUAUGUAUUGAGUACCUUACUUACUGUGGUUAACCCCGAAUCAACCCGGGACCUACAUAUGUAUAUAUAUAUAUAUAUAUAUAUAUAUAUAUACAAAACACUAUAACUGAAACACGCACACAUGCAUAUAUUGUAUUUCUCUAUAUUGUAUAUAUAUAUAUAUGCAUGCAUGCAUGCGUGUUUCAAUUGUAGUAUUUUGUGUGGUUGCUGCUGCUGCUGCUAGGUGAUGUGUCACUCAACCACAUGACCACAGCAUCCACACCACAAAUGUCUUCUUUUACAACUACUUCCUAUUUUAACUUCCCCCCUCUCUCUCUGAAUCAUCAACAACAUGUCAACAUUUUCACUGUUGAAAAUAUUCUAGAAACAGAUUAAAUAUGUCGAGGUUGUAAUUUUAGUAUGUGUUGGUCAAAUUAUAUCGAAGUCGUGUUUCAAUUAUUUACUAUCAGACUCACAUUUUCCCGGUGCAAGCAGACCCAGAGAACCAGUCAACGUUCUCUGGAACCUCUUUAUCAAAAUAUCUGAUUCUUCCUCAUCAGCUCAAAUAAUUGCCUUCAAUGUAAACAAGCAGCAAGCUCUCAACUAUAACUCUCUCUCUCUCUCUCUCUCUCUCUCUCUCUCUCUCUCUCUCUCUCUCUCUCUCUCUCUAUCUAUCUAUCUAUCUCCCCCUCUCUCUCUAUUCCCCCGCUCUUCCUCUCUCUCUCACUGACACACUCUUUCUAUGAAUUUAAUAUUCGCAAGAAAUUUGUGGUUUAUAUCUGUUUGUGUACGUAUAUAUAUAUACGUAUAUAUAUAUAUAUAUAUAUAUAUAUAUAUAUAUAUAUAUACACGUAUAUUAUUCUUUAACAAGAAUAGUAUUGACAGUGACUUCGAAGUUUUAGCUAGCUAAACCGUCAUUGGACUAGAAUAUAUGUAGAGAUAAACUUAACAUCGUUGAACUGUCCGAUUAUUCUUGCUAAUAAUAAAUUUGUACUCUGCCAGAUGUAUUGAAUAAUCCUUCAGCGUAAUAUAAAAUGGUUUUUAUUAAAACAUAAAACAAAUAUUAACAUAUAUAUAUAUAUAUAUAUAUAUAUAUAUAUAUAUAUAUAUAUAUAUACUAGCAGUAUCGCCCGGCGUUGCUCGGGUUUGUAAGGGAAAUAACUAUAUAAGCAUUUUUAGAGAGUUACUUCUCUUAUAGAUGCCUAUUUGGGCUUUCUUAGCCAUUUCUGUUUUGGUGUCUUCAAGCCAUGAAGUCGUUGUUCUAAAAGAACGCUGGUCUCCGUGACAACGCUUUACGACGUUAAUUUCCUUACACUCCCUUCCCCACAGCUUCACGAGGGAGGGAAGAAGGGGGAGAAGCAAACAGGUGCAGGUGUGACCAUGGUCGCCAACUCCGCCGCCAUCGACACACGAAAAAUUAUGCAUUAAAAUGGAAUAAAAAAUGAUGUUAAAUUAUUUUUAAAAUCGUAGACUCAUCGUAGACGCGCGCUAAUACCCAGACGGGCUCGAUAUGAAUCACGACUAUAAGAUACCCGAAUUUGGUUAAACUGCACUGCAAAAUGUGGGAGUAGUUAGGAAUCUAAAUCGAAGGAGACAGACACUCACACAACUACAGUUUUAUAUAUAUAGAUAUAUAAUGUGUAAAGGUAAGAUCCAAGGAUCAAGAUGUAGGAAGUUAGUAAGCUUCAAGCAAUAUAUAAUAUGUAUAUAUAUAUAUAUAUAUAUUGUUAUUAUUAUUAUUAUAUAUACUAGAAGUAAGAGCUAAGAAGCUCUAAUGCUGUAGUUAAAGCACAUAAUUGUAUACACAUGUACUGACAGGGACUGUAAUCGCCCGAAAGCACUGGUUGAGAAUUCCCUAUACUGAUUGGUCAAUUUCAGUUAAUUUUGUUGCCUCUUCAGUAGGGAUCUCUCACUUUCGUGCUUAGCAGUCGUUUGCGGCAAGACACAUUUUUUUUCUCUCCUAACACGCCAGCUCAAAGUUUACUCGUCCUGUCAAAAGAUGUCUGUCUGUGAUGUCCUGUUUUUGUUAUUAUUAUUAUCAUUAUUGUUUUUACGUAUUUUUGUAUUCUUAUUCGUGUAACACCGUCCGUUUUUCCGUCCUUGUUUUGUAUACAUUCGAGGCUUUCUUCCGAGGUAUCUAAUGCACUUGGCUUAGAUUUUCCUUUGGGGCUGGCCAGAUCGGAGCAAUCUCAAGAUUAAUCAGCCGAAAUUGCGAGGAUGAUCCGGUUCUUGACUGAAGAUCGAAGGCUUCGAAUGUCCCGUCUGUGUUUUUUGUAUCGUUUUCUAAAUGUUUUGCGUUCUUGUCCCAGUUUGUAUUUUUAUAUAUAUAUAUAUAUAUAUAUAUAUCUUUAUAUAUAUAUAAAACUGAGAAUGUGUGUCUGUCUGUCUGUCUGUCUAUCUGUCAGUGUGUUUCCCUAAAACUUGAGAACUACACAACCAAUUUCAUUCAAAUUUUACACAUGCCUUACUUAGGGUCUGGGGAGUGUCAUCGGCAAAAAAAAAUGUUCAACUUCUUGCCUAGAGCAAUCCCAUAGCAAUAUCAUAUCUUCUCCACUAUUUCAGUAUUAUGUGUUAAAAGUGAAACAAAAACAUUUCUCUAUUUUAUGUCAGAUACUUUCACUUUAACAAUAAAAAUAAUAAUAACAAUUGAAUUAUAUGUAGUAAGUAAUAAUUAAAAUCAAACUAAAGUAACAUGACAAAAGUAAAAAUAGCAAUUGGUAUAAAAUUGCAUCAAUGAUUUGAACUUGAAUAAGUGGUUUCACAUGAAUGGGAAUAAAUUAAAAAUAAAAUUAGUGUGCAGAAAUGGAAUAGUCCAGAUGGAUAAUAAAAAAUUAGAUUAAAGAAAAGAUUAUUGUCUAUAAAGUAUACAAUAUAGAGAAAAAAGAAGAUUUGAACGCAUGGAGGAAAGCACCUUUGAAAAGUGUCUUGGUGCGACUAUGAAAGGUAUCUAAUCAGAGGCGGUAAAUUCGCCACAAUAGAAGCAAGGUUUGAGUCAACAGAGCGUGCAAGGGAGUACUCGACUCGAACUUGCAAAGUGGAAAUAUUUUAUUUUUACCUUUAUAUCUGGGACAUAGGACGUCCCGGAAAAAAAUUUUAAAUGCCCCCCCCCCCCCAGAAGUAGAGGUAGGCUGGAUUGUAGCCACACUUCUAUACAAGAGGGAGGACAAGAUACAAUUGAUCGAAAUUACAAGAGACGGGCUAACAAUUCCAGUCUGUUAUAUAUUUUGAGUAUUGUUAUCACUAGCAAUAUCAAGAUAUAACUUUGUAUUUUGUAUUUUAUGUGUAGAUGUGUACAUGUAAUAUGUACACAUAUAUAUACACAUAUAUACAUGCACUAGCACUAUGACCCGGCAACGACGGGUCUUUAAUGCUAGUAUAUAUAUAAUGGAUAAAAAUUUAGCUAGGUGUUAAAUAACCACCUAAAUAAUAUUAAAUAUCCAAAGAAUUUACUGGGGUUUUUUUUUACCUAUAUAAAUAAUGUUAUGAGCGAUAGUUCAAAUAGGCAAAUAAAUAAAUAAAAUAAAUAUACAGUUUAUCAAUAUAUAAAUAUAAAUUAGAAAUCAUUUAAUGAUAAAAUUAUUAUUUUGGUUUCCAUUUCUAAUUUAUAUAUAUAUAAACCAACCUUACUUGGACUUGUACCUCAAAGGGGAACUUUCUGUGUGCAAUCCCAUGGUCAUUACCCUUUAUAUAUAUAUAUAUGGAUAUCAUCAUCAUCAUCAUUUAAUACCUGUUUCCCAUGCUGGCAUGGGUUAGAUCAUUUAACUGGAACUGGUAAGGCCAGGGGUCGCACUAGGUUCCAUAGUCUGUUUUGGCUUGGUUUCCACUGCUGGAUGCUCUGCCUAAUGCUAACCACUUUACAGAGUAUACUGGGUGCUUUUUAUAUAGCACUGGUAUGAAUUCUGUUGUGGUGGACAGGUGUUCUUGAGUACAACAAGGCACCAAAUAUUUCAGUGCCUUGAGAUCAGCCUUCAACGCUUCAUCCCAUGUUUUCCUGGUUCUUCCUCUUCCAUAAGUUCCACCUACUUUAAGUGAAUUAGCACUUCUUUAUGCGACUGUCCUCAACCAUCUGCAUGACAUAACCAAAACCAGCAGACUGGUACAGGUUGUAGUAUGAAUUGAAAUUACAAUUACAUUUUCAAUUUCUUUCAGUCGCAUAGAGCCUCCGUGGGUACACAACUGCUGUGGGGAGUGGGAGCAGAGAAGAGAGAAGUUUUUUUCAUUAUUAUUAAGGCAACAAUUAGUUUCCAAUAAUGCAGGAGUAGCUACAGAGACCAUGUUAAAUUAUCAUCAGCAUUACAAUGUUAAAUUAUCAUCAGCAUUACAAUGUUGACACUUAUAUGUAUAUAAACACACAUGCAUACAUAUAGGUGCAUAUAUGAACAAAUGAACAAUUCAUUACUCAUAGAAGCACUCAUGUGUGGCCCACGGGCUAGAUAUACGUACACAUGUACCCAUAUAACUAUGCACUCGUAAAACAAUCCACAGGUUGUAAUAUUGUCAAGUACAAUACCUAUAUAUAUAUAUAUAUAUAUAUAUAUAUAUAUAUAUAUAUAUAUAUAGAUAGAUAUAUGUGUAUAGCAUUGAUAAUUAGGAGAAUGAACAAUUUGAACAUUCAAAUUUUAUGUUUAUUUUCAAAUGGCUUAUUCAUAAUAAUUGUCCAACACAUGUUUUGAUUGUACUAAUUGCAUAUUGUUGCAUAUUUAUAUGCAGCGAUUUAUGCAUUAUUGAGAAAAAUAGCUCAUCGAUGAAAGGUCAUACUAAUAAUGGAGAAAAAUUCCUCUUUAAACAAUGUCAUAUUUAUAUACCCUGAAGAGAUCAUACUAAUAAUGCAUAAAUCACGGCAUAUAAAUAUGCAACAAUAUGCAAUUAAUGCGAUUGAAACAUGUGUUGGACAAUUAUUAUGAAUAAAGCAUCUGGAAAUAAACUUAAUGUUUGAAUGUUCAAAUUUUUCAUUCUCCUUAUUAUUAAUACUGUACCUUACACACCAAGUAACCAAGAAAUAAACUGUAACUACAGAUGAGAGUUAAAAAGAAGUUACCAUAUAAUGCACCAUCUAAAGGAACCAUCCAUGGCAUUUUACAUAGAGAAAUUACAUAUAUAUAUAUAUAUUAUACAUACAUAAAAACAUUGAUUAGAGAACUAACAUCAAAUUUGGGUCAACGACUUUAUAUAACACCACGCUUCCAUAAUUUUCAUCGUCUAUAAACAUUACCAUGGCCUUUGACAUAUAAAAGAAUACUUACAUAAAAGCACAGAGGGUAAAAAAUACAUAUGCACAUAAAAAUACAAAAUGUAUAGAAAGGCCAAUCAAGAAAAGGUAUAUAUAAAUCAACUAAAAUAGGUAAUCAAAAUGAAUUACUAAAACGUGUCAAGCAACUAAAAAAAUAUCAAUGGACUUUAAAAAAAAAGUUGCAAUGAGACAAUCUUCUUCGUGAAGCUUUGCUGAAUUGCUGCAAGGUCCACUGUGGGAUGACCGUAGUUGGGAGCAGUAGUCCAGGCGGCUGAGGAUGAAUGUCCUCCAGAUGACCAUCAUGGUUUCUUUCUCUUUGGUUCUGAAGGUUCUCAGGAUCCAGCCAGCCAAUUGUCUGUACUUUGUCUCCAUCUUGGUUAUGUGCACUUGGAAAGAGGUGUCAUCAUUCAUGUCAAUAGCCAGGUUCUGGGAUUGUAAUCCCCUGUGGGUCAGUGUACCCUGUAAGUUUUAUGUUCAGUCUUGGGCGCUGAUAACACAGGGAUUGGAAUUUUCCAGUAUUAAACUGCAUAUUAUUGUCCUAGCCCAUCUGUAAACUGAGUCCAACUCCUGCUGCAGGUGUGCAACAUCACUAGGGUUUUGUAUUUUCUGUGAGACUUUCGUAUCGUCUGCAUAGCUAGGCAGCUGAGGGCAUAUCUGAGAGAGCCACUAUGAAAAGCAGUGGUCCCAAGCCAGUGUCCUGUGGAACAUCACUCUCUAUUUCUGUUUUCUUUGAGGUGGCUCCAUUGGCCACCACUGCCUGGCUUCUAUCUUUCAGAAAGUCAUGUAACCACUUUCCAAGUUUUCCAGCUAUGCUGAGAUCAUGUAGUUUGUGGUAUAUCAUACCAUGAUCCACUUUAUCAAAAGCUUUUGCAAAGUCAGGGUAUAUUACGUCCACAUUUGAGUUGGUGAGUAACUGCCUCAACUCCCGGUCAUAGUGUUGUAGGAGCUGAGUCAGGCAGCGCUUACCUGGUCAAAAACCAUGCUGGGUUUCACUCAGCAAGUCAUUUUCUUCAAGGAAUGCGAUUAGUUUCCCUCAGACUAUUCAUACUAUGACUUUGCUGAUGUGUGAAGUCAGAUAUAUAUAUAUAUAUAUAUAUAUAUACAUAUUCAGAUGAAUAUGGUACUUAAGUUGCAGCACCAGAAUUUAGUACAGUAAUAUCCAUACAAUUUCAAAGUAAGGUGAUUAAAAUCAAAAUAAGCAACAAGAAUAUCCAAAGGUAAUGCAGUACGAUCGUUUCAUGCAACUCCAUUUGAUUGAACAAUGCAAUCAUUACAUUAAUUUAAACACAGAGCAAUCCUCAGCUGCAGAAGACAUAGAAUUUAAUAAAAUUAGAACAGAUGGACACAUUAGUAGAAUUAUACCUAAAAUUUCCAAGAAGUUAAGGUGAUAAACAAAGAACAUGCUCUCUCACUCCAGUUUAGAAGUUAUUAAGUUACUGAGUAACUUUUAAACUGAAGUGAGGCAGCAUGUUCUUUGUCUUAACUUCUUGGAGAUUUUAGGCAUAAUUAUACUAAUGUGUCCAUCUGUUCUAAUUUUAUUAAAUUCUAUGUUUUUGUGCAGCUGAAGAUUGCUCUGCAUUUUAAAUUGAUGUAAUGGUUGCAUUGUUCAAUCAAAUGGAGUUGCAUGAAACGACCAUACUGCAUUACCUCUGGAUAUCCUUGUUGCUUAUUUUGAUUAUAUAUAUAUAUAUAUAUAUAUAUAUAUAUAUAGCAGGAAAGUAAGAAGAAAAAAUAAGUGAACAUGAUCAUGUUUGAUACAGUUUACUAUCGACAAAAAUGUAGAAUUGCAAUGGGAACCCGAGCUGCUCCAGUGAUUAUGAACCUUGUAAUGGGUUACCUAGAACUUAAAAUAUACCAAUCAUCACUACAAAAAUAUGGCACCUCAUUUCAUUGCUAUUUAAAGAAGAACUGGAAGAGGUAUUUGGACGAUUGCUUUAUACUUUGGAAAGAUAGCAUGGACAAACUCCUUGACUUCAAAAUAAUGCUUAACAAUAUUAAUAGCAACAUACAAUUCACCAUGGAGCACAGCAGUAAACAACUCCCUUUUCUUGACACCCUAACUAAAAUAGUCAAUAAACACAUUGAAACAGACAUCUUCUAUAAACCCACAGAUUCUAAACAAUACCUAUUAUUUUACUCAUGCCACCCCAAACACAUAAAAAUUAAUAUACCUUAUAAUCUAGCGAAAAGGAUCUGUACCAUAGUUUCAGACACCUAUACUUGUGAAUGAAGACUCCUUGAACUCAGAUCAAUACUAAUCAAAAGACAUUACCCAAUAUCAUUAAUAAAUGAUGGCAUUAAAUGAGCUAAGGAAAUAGAUAUACGAACAUUAAGGGAAGUCAACCGAAAUACUAAACCAGACUUAAAAAUACUCUCAUACAUCUCCACAUAUAACCCUAGACACAACGAAGCCUUCAACAUUAUCAUCCAAAAUCUACCCAUCCUCACGGGAGAUAAAUCAAUGAACAAAAUUUUAGGCUCUCACAAAAUUAUCAAAAGCAAAAUGCAACCCAAAUCAUUGAAAAAUAUAUUAACCAGCGCAAGACUUUAUCUAUUAACAACGGAACCAAAAGUGAAAAAAUGUGGUUGGCCUAACUGUGGUACAUGCUCCCACCUUUUGGAGGGUUCAGAGUUCCACUUUAAACAAGGUGAAAUAUUUAAGAUUAAAUCAAAUUUCACCUGUGCCUUGGAAAAUCUAAUCUAUGCCAUUACCUGCUUAGGGUGUGAAUGAAAAUUUGAGAAUGUAUUGGUAAUAUUUCUGGAUAGAUGGUGGAGGGGGGGUGUAUGUUUAGAAUGAGGAGAUCGGUCAAAAUGAUGGAAAGUGGAUGUUAAACAAUGAUGAUGAUGAUGAUAUAUGUGUAUACAUACACACACAUAUAUAUGUAGAAUCGUACCCCUUUAAAUGCGUAUGUGUUUCUAUUGUUCUUUGCCUCACUAUUGCCCUUUGCUGCUAUUUCAAUUUUCUUGUGGUGAAUCUACCCAUUUCUUCCAGUUCUUGUUCACAAUCCACUCACCCCUUACAACCCCCACCACCAAUACCAGAAACCCCUUCUCCUCGUAUACUGGUAAUCUCUUCUCUUAUACUGAAAACUCCCACAGGGCUCUGCCUCACUUCUGCACCAGAAGACCUACAUACCUCUGUCCCUCCCUCUUUUCCAAGCCAUCUUCCUCCUCCUGCCUCUCACCUCUCUCUCUCUCUCUCUCUCUCUCUCUCUCUUUGUGUGUGUAUAUAUAUAUAUAUAUAUAUAUAUAAUGGACUACCUAACCAAAUAGCAGCCCAUUUACUUACUUAAUCUAACAUUUACCAUAUUUAUAUUUAUGUUUGCAGCUUCAGUAAUGCUUAUAUUUACAAUGCUUACCUUGCUCUCACCACCAGAAGCGGGUAACAAUUUUAACACAUUUGAAUGGUGAUAAGUUAGAAGCCAGGUCAACUGUUGUGACAUGCCUGCUAUCAAACUAUCACGGAAACCUCCUCUUCAGGUGCUGAAUAAUAUAUCUCUGUCCCAUGUUCCCUCCAACAUCCCUUUCCCAGUUUUCAGAGUUGACACUGUCAAUGUGGGCACAUUGAAAUGUAGAUCUAACAAGAUUGUAGAGAUGCUUGAACGGAUAUGUGAUGAUAUAAGUUGCAUCCAAGAGGUUAGGUGAAGAGGAACUUCAGCCAGGUUCCUCACAGGCAAGACACAUAGGUAUAAAAUCUUCUGGGAGGGUAACGGCGAUGGAGUAGGUGGUGUGGGCAUACUUCUUGUUGAGAAAUGGGUGGAUACGGUCAUGAAGGUAGUCAGAGUAUGCAAUAAAGUACUUAAGCUCAGGCUAGUCUUGUAGAAUAGCAUCAAUUAUCUCUGCCCCACAAGCAGGCCUACCAAAUGAACAAAAGGACCACUUUUAUGAUUCUUUUCUGCAGGCUACCUCAAAGACGUGUGAAAACAAUCUCAUCUUUGUGGCUGAGGAUUUCAAUGGGCAUGCUAGACAGCAGCCUAGUAUCUUCCACAGUGUUCGUGGAGGCCAUGGAAUUGGUUCUUGAAACGAAGAGGGAACAAGGCUACUGGAGUUCUGUGAUGCAAGUAACCUUUCGAUCUGCAACACCAACUUCAGAAAGCCAGCCAGCCACCUGAUAACCUAUCAAUCAGGUGGCUCUGCUAGCCAGAUUGAUUUCAUUAUUACAUUAUAUUUUUAAGGAUUUAUAUCAUUUGGAAGUAGAUGCACUGGGUGUGUGACAGUAAUUAUUGUCUAUGUUUGUAGUUCUGAAUAAUGUCCAUUUGAAACGCCCACUGCUUUGUGAUGAGGUGGAGGAACAUAUAUAAAGAGUUUAGGGUUGUUAUAUCGCAUGAAGUGCACCAUAUGAUAUGAAAGAAUAGCAGGAAGCAAGCUGUUGGCAAUUUGUUUAUUCCAUUUCCAUUACAAUGGCUUUAGCAGCUGAUAAUCAAGUUUAAUAAAUAAUUAUAAAUUGUAAUCAAUUGGAUAGAUCAUAGAUCACAUCUUCAGAUGGGACAUUGAAAUAUGAAGAAUCGAACCAUGUGAUGCAUCUAAAUACUAGAGAAAUGAGUCAGCCAAUGGCAGUGAAGAGGAAGAAAGGAGAUUUUGGGUGGGUAGCAACAGUGCCCUGUGUGUGUGUGUGUGUGUAAUUAAUGACAAAUAAUAUAAAGAAGGAAACCUUUGUCUGUGUAGGUAAGGGAUUAGAGUCAUCACAAAGAAUAAUGUGACCUGGAAGAAGAGACAAGAAACAAAACAAAAUGGAGCAAAAAAAAAAGAAAAAAACAAACAAAUACAGCUACAACAGUGCAGGAAGAAUAUAAUAUGUGUGUGUGUGUGUAUGGAUAAAGUGAGAGAGAGAGAGAGAGAGAGAGAGAGAAAGGUAAAUAGAUACAUUAAGAGUAAGGAACAGAAGAAAAGUAUUCCAUACUGGCAACAGAGUAGAAGUGGUUUAAUGGAGUUAAUCAAAAUCAAACAAAGCUGAAAACUAUCAAUUUGAUCAGAUUUAAUGUUUGGUCUGAUGAAAUUGUAAGUUUUAAGCCAGUUGUAUUUUUUGUCUCACAAAAUUAAAUUGUGUGUGUGUGUGUGUGUGUGUGUGUGUGUGUGUGUGUGUGUGUGUGUGUGUAUGUGUGUGUGUGUGUGUGUGUGUGUGUGUGUGUGUGUGUGUGUGUGUGUGCUUUAUGCAUAUGUUAUCAUUCAUUCUGUAUCUGUUUUUUCUUUUAUUCAGAAUUAUUGUCCUCCAAGAGAAGUCAGGGACCACUUCAUGCCUGUCCAAUACAGUUUUUAUUGCCUAACACCAUUCUGGGUGGGUUGUAUUAUGACCCCGCCACUAGAGAGGUUGUCUGGUUCCCAGCAAGACAAAAGAAUCCUAUUUUAUAUUCCUCACAGCUGUUUGUUUGUUCUUUUCUUUCUUUAUCUGACUGGAAUGGAAGAGGAGAGCCAGAAUGAGAGGGUGACGGAAGAAAGGUUAUUAGAAGAGAACUCAAGUGAUAGAGGGAUACACAUACAUGCACACAUAUGUACACUCAUGCACUCACAUACACACACAUAUUCAUGCAUGGACACACAUACAUGAACACACAUACAUGCAUGCACACAUGCAUUCACACACACUCAUACACCAGUUCAGAACAACCUUGUCACUCGUUUAUCUCUUGUUCGGAUUAUAACCAGUUGUUAGACUGGAUUGCUUUGCACUUGAGUCUGACCUAGCGAUUACCUGAGGGAAACAUGUGUUUUUGUCUCUUUGUUUACAAACAGGAAUCCCUUUAUUGACAUUGAGAGCAUGUCGGGAGGUAGCAGGAGACAGGGUGCAGUAAUGUUUUCACAAGUUGAUUGACAUCCAACUAAUUGGAUGAAAACAAGCUUAAUUCUUUCUUCAAAAACAGAAAAAUGUGAUAGGAUUUCUGUAUUGAUUUUUGUUGCAGUUUUGAAGGAAUAUAAUUAGUAAUUACUAACUCUAAUCCCUGCUGAUACCUGAAAGUAAAGCACAUGAUUAAUAGUAAAGCACCUUAUUAAAUAACUAUUACAGUUUAACUGAGUCAGCAAUGAACAGUUUAUAUGGCAAUAUACAAGGUUUCCUUUUCUAAGUUGGUAAGGUGUGAUUUAAUGUAGAUUUGACUGCUAUUUCUUGCAAAUCAAGAGACCUUAUAAUGUUUCCCUCAUUGACUUGUCCCCUAUGUGGUCUCUUGAUCUGCUAAAAAUAACAGCCCAAUCUCCCUUAAGUCACACCCAGCUGUCCUAAAUAAAGUGCAUAUUGAUUAAUGUAAUCCUAAAUACCUCUAAAAAGGCACGCUUACCAUCACUGGAACAUCUUUGAUUUGCUUGAUGAGGGUUAACCUGGGGCUAAACAACAACAGAAUUUAGUGAAAUGUUAUUGUUGUUGUCCACAGAGAAAUGGUGGUGUUUAGGGCCAUGCUAUUUCAUUGUCCCUUUCACAUAGCUAAUUCUAAGAGAGAAAGAUGAAUUAACAACUACUUUAUUUUAUCAACCCUGAACACAAGACAAAGUUGGCCUCAUCCUGAUAAUUUAUAACUUCUUUGUUUAAAUUAAAGGUUCAUCAUUGGAGGUGCCAUUAAUUUAGAGUGUUGAAACCUAUCAUAUAACUUUGUAUUCUAUCUCCAUUUUCUAAAAGACAUUUGUAGUAGGUUAAGAGUUAGAACAAUAAUAAUGAUGAUGAUGGUAAUAUAAUAGUAAUGAGAGUAGUGAGGGAUCAACUGCAGCACAUGCUGCUGUGCUGCUUGGGGUCUCCCAAUGUUUGUGCAACCAAUAUUGUUGUCAGGAAAGAAAUGAAGUAUAAAAAAGCUGUUAAGAUGGCAGAGAGACCAUUCUGGAAAUGAAAGAUUUGGAAAGUGUAAUGCUGAACACACAGAGAUUGCAAUGGUCAUAGAACAAAUAAUUGUCCCAUCAGAAUAAAAAAGAGAAGUGAGAUAUAGUAACCAAAGAGGAAAAGGAAGAUCAUACAACUGGUGAAGUAGGCUUAGUAAGGCUGGUUGUAGGGUUAGUGAGUUAUUUAGCUAUAAAGAAACUAUGAUAGAGCUCGUUGUGGAAAAUGGAGCCAAGAUGUUGUGAUUGUUUCUGAGAAUGAUGUAUAUCCUUUCAUUGUUGGCUGUCUUAGGUAAAGACCUAAUCCACACAACAUACUUUUCUGAAAUUGUCUCAAUAGGAAGAUAGCAUUGGUGGUACCUUUUCCUGGCACAAACUGAAUCUAACCUAAUCUAAUUCUGUUCCUAAUCAAUUGUGCUCAUCCUUUGACUUCCAUCACCUUAAUUAAUACCUCUGAACUUAGCUUUUCUUGUAGAUCUUCUUUGCUCUUUAACUAAUAAUACUGUCACACAAUUCUUUGGGUUUGGUUCUUCUGUGUGAUUCCUUGUGUGAAUGACUAACACACGUCCAAAUGUGACAGAUAUUCUAAUCAUUUCAGUGUUGAGUCCACUUCACUUAAUUUCUUUCAUGAAUUCUUUUCUUUCAGUAACUUCCCCAAAUAGCACAUCCAUUCUGCCUCUUUUUUCAGUGUCAAAGGGCAAUUGUACUGUUAUUCUGUAACCCCGCUCCUGCUCUCCACCACACUAACUUGUUUGUUUUAUCUGAUACACCAGAUUUGCUACCUGAAACAUUUCAUACCUCUGAUCUUCAGAUUGUUGAACACACAUACAGAUCUCUAACUUUUUGCUUCUACUUUUGCUAAGUAUAUCUGAUCAUAUUUGUUUGAUAUUGUUCUUCUCUGCCACCUUUUUUCUCCUCUUUCUGAACCUGUGACUUAGUUUUUGUGGCUCCAUCUACAGCCAUAAUUCUGUCACCUUCUGUUACCUCAGUCAUAAAUAUGGUCUGUAGCUCUCAGCAGAUUGUCCUGUAGAAAAUUGUUGUUUGCUGUUAUGUUAUAAGCCUCUUUCUCCUCCUGCUUCUGUCCUAAUCAUUUGCUAGAAUUUCUCUGAACCUGCAGCUGGUUCUUAGCUCUUUCGGCUUAAUGUCUUCCUUCUCUAGAUUGCCUUGUGUCCAUUUAGCUCUUGCUCUAAACUCACUUAUCACAACUAUUUGUUCAUCAAGGAUAAACUGAGCAUUCACAUACAUUUACAUUUCCUGAUCAGUAUAGAAACUUGUUAGAAGACGACCAGAUAGCUUUGGUUAGUCUCAUAAAAUAUCUUUAUUUAUUUUCCUCCGAGUCUGAAUUAGAUGUGGUUUUUACAGAAAUGUGUGUUCCAUUGUCAGAAAUGUAAUAUUGAUGUUCACAAUUGCUGUAUAUGUUUUGUAGAGGAUUAGACACAUGUGAAUUAGCAUAAAGUACAUUGUCUGAUUACACAAGUGUAAUAGCUCAAUUGGCAGUUAAUUAUAAUGAAUACUUAUCAAUUCAAUGACAGUAGUAAAUACAUACAUGCUUACAUAUAUAAAUAUGUAUAUAUAUAUAUAUAUAUAUAUAUAUAUAUAUAUAUAUAUACACACACACACAUAUACAUAAAUAUACAUGCAUGCAUACAUACACACAUAUAUACAUUUAUAUGUAUGUGUGUAUGUAUAUAUAUAUACAGAUCGCCAUGUUGAUUCGUUAGCUACUGCACGCAUUUUUUUUCUCUCCUUCUUUCUGUGUUUUUCUCUCUCUGUGUAUCUUUCUGUUGAAGAGCGUAGGCUCGAAACGUUAAAGAAUUGUUUUAUUUAUAUUUCCUGAGCGCCAUACUAAUACAAUUGUUCGUUUGUUUUCCACCUGCCUUCGUCUUUUGUUUAUUUUCAUAAAGCUUCCCGUUAUAUAUAUAUAUAUAUAUAUAUAUAUAUAAACUCCUUUACAAUGGCCAAAAUAUUCAUUGUCUUGAACCUAACUGGUCUUACUCCUUCACCACCGAAAAAUACAUCAGUUCUGAAUAAUUACUGAUUGACCCAGCUACAAGGACAUGUAUACUCUAUACUGGAGUACCAAUGACAUAAUUGAAAUAGUAUUCACACACACACAUCUAGCUGAUAAGUAAAUGUUCACACUAUAACCACCUUUAGCUCACCAAUAAUCUCUCCUUCCCCACCUCCUCUCUCUCUCUCUCUCUCUCUCUCUCUCUCACACACACACACACACACAUACACACUAUAGGUCCUAUCUCUCUCUUGCAGGCUGGGUGGAGUUUUCAAGGAAUAUAAAUCUUGCCUCUGUCUUCCUAGGACUAAACAAUGAACGAAAGUGUGGAUGAGUCAUAUUGAUGAUGGAAAGUAAGCUUAGAGAUUCCUUGAGGAUGAACUGGAAACAAAUGUCUGGACUAAGUCUGAGAAUUCUUUAGGACAGCUCUGUAAGUUGAGUCCAAGUGUGAGGAGAAGAGAAAGAAAAUGAAGUUAUCAUUUGGAUCGUAGAUAUUCAUCGAUGGAUCAUAGAAUUCCACUCUCUAGAGCAAGAGUAAAGUGCCAAAUAUUAGACUCUAAAUUCCUUUCAAUGAUUAAAUUUAUCAAACUGCCAUUCUGUUGACUAAUUGUUGCUGAAACAGAGCAUCACCGGGCUCCUCAGCUUCUGGAUGUUAUCCGAAUUAUGGAAACAUUCAGUUUCACAGAGGAGGCAACACGGAAGUUAUGGAGAAGAUACUUCAAAUUAAUCUCUAUAUAUAUAAAGUUGAAGUUGUCUGUGUAUGGCAUGUUUGGUAGCCUUCAACUAACACUAUCUUCUCCGAGACCCUGCAGCGCAAGGUGACCAACAUUGAGAGUAUGAUAGAAGAAGGCUUGCUCUUCCUUCCGUAGAAGAAAAAAUUCAAAUCAGACCAUGUUAAGACCAAAAAUUAUUUUCAUCAAAAAGGUGCUAUUUUUCUAUGAAAAUCCCUGUUUUUUACGAUUUUUUGACUGCUGUGUCGCCAUUUUUCGGUGUAUUUCAACCAGAAAAAUGUUCACUUAAAGAGAAUAACAAGCUACAUAAUGCAAAAUUUUUACUUUUCAAAAAUUCCAAUUCUAAAGGGUCGAAACAAACCCGAGCAAUGCCGGGCGAUACUGCUAGUACAUUUUAAACACAAACAUGACUACUUUUGGCUGCUUGUAUCAGCCAGAAAUUUCUAUGGAGUACACUCCUUACAGAAUAAUUAAAAUUCAAGAAAACAUAGUGCAAGAGACAGGAAAGAUGCUUUCGUCCUCAUCCUUUGACUAACCUAUGGUUGGUCGGAACUCCGUUGACAAUCCCUUUCCACACCACAUGGUCCUACAUUGCUGUGUUCAGAUCUCUAAUAUCUUGCCCCAAGUCCUGAGAUAUCGUAUCUGGAAAUGUCAGUUUCCUGGAGAAAACACUUCCGGAUGGAUGCCAUAGGAGCAGGGAUGAGAUAACCUCUUUCUCCAUUCUCGUAAAAGAACUAAGAAAAUUAAUACAGCAACCUGCCUAAAGAAAUCUAGCUUCUCGUGCCGUCUUGAACUUGCAUAAAUGUACAAAAUACUGAAUGGUUGUUGACUGUCUUGAGUUUAUCCACCUUUUGGAAGAUUUCUUUCCUUCAUCCAGCAAGGUCAUCCCCAAAAUCACCCUCCUCACCAAGUAGGGUCAGUGAAGUUCCUGGCUUAGUCACUAACAAUUAAACAAUGCAACAGGUUGUAAUGGGUUGUGCAUAUUUGAUGUCUUGCAUACAAGUCCUAGGGUUAAUGGCUGUUGUACAAAUAACUCUGCCCUCACAGGUCAUGUCACUGAGUUCUGGUUCCUUUAACAAAAUAGGGGACUAAGAGUGUGACCAUUGUACUAAUGACUUUCAGAUUUCUCAAUGUACUAAAUGUUUUUUUACCUGGAUUGGGAAUAAACCAAUUGGGGAACCUCUAUGUGGUUACUACACUUACUAGAAAUAGCAGCCAAAACUUCUUCAAAACAUCAUACACUCUUAAAAAGGGAAAGACUCAUCAUUCUAUUUUACUUCUUUAUUUUAUUAGUCAAUUAGUUAACUAAUUAACCAAUUAACUAAUCAAUUGUUUGAUUAAUCUAUCUUUAUUUUAUGGAUAGUACCUAAAAUAAAUAUACUCACCAUAAAAAGGCACAAAGAUGAAAACAAGGUCUGAUUGUUUAGCCCCAGGUUUGCUCUGAUUCAGCAGACCUGUGAUCAAACUCAUUCCAUGCAGGACCAUCCCAUCUUUAUAAAGACUAGUUUGAAAUACAUUAUUGAAAGUGUAACAUGUUUAGAUGUUUAGCUGGUGACUAAAAACAAGAUGAAAUUAAUUAUAAGAAUUAUUUGCCUUUCACAACAUCACCCUAUAUUUCUCCAAAUUUCUGACAUUGGACUGUUUCACUUAUUUUGCUUUGUUCAUCUUUUUUAAUUAUGUAAAUUAUAGAUUUGGUGCAUCUGUUGGCUGGUGGUGCAGUCACCAUUUCUAUGUUGUUGCUCAUAUUAGAAAUAGCAGCUAACAUGCCCUUCAUAUAAAUAUCCUGACAUAGGCGCAGAAGUGGCUGUGUUAAGUAGCUUGCUUACCAACUACAUGGUUCUGGGUUCAGUCCCACUGCAUGGCAACUUGGGCAAGUGUCUUCUAUUAUAGCCUUGAGCCAACCAAAGCCUUGUGGGUGGAUUUGGUAGAUGGAAACUGAAAGAAGCCUUUUAUAUACAUAUAUGUGUGUGUAUGUGUAUUUGUGUGUUCGUGUGUCUGUGUUUGUCCCCCACCAUUGCUUGACAACCAAUGCUUGUGUGCUUACGUCCCUGUAACUUAGCGGUUUGGUAAAAGAGAAUGAUAGAAUAAGUGCUAGGCUUACAAAGAAUAGGUCUUGGGAUCGAUUUGUUCAACUAAAGGUGGUGCUGUAGCAUGGUUGCAGUCAAAUGACUGAAACGUGUAAAAGAAAAAAAAGAAACUUAUGAAGUGAAGGAUGCAUUGAUAAUCAUGUUCCUGAUUCACAUAGUCAAUGAAAUGAUCAUGGCUGGAUUGCCUUUGAUCAUAAGUCUGCUUGGUCAAGGCUGACUCGGGAUUAAAAAUUAUUUGUAACUCCUUUUGUUUCCAUGAAAAUCUUUGUCAACUGAUCAGGUACGCUGGAGUAGUCUAUACUGAUGAGAUCUAAUAAACCAAAACAUGUACAUAGUUGUCUCCCUUGCAUACAAACCAAAAUCAGGCUUUCCUUUCCCUAAACAUGUAAGUUAACCUUGACAUACUAAUUCUUAAUUAUCUCUCCCAUUCCUUUCUUAGUUGUUAGCAAAUGCUACCAUUUUUUUUGCUUUCUUUCUCCAUUUACAAAUUAAAUUUCAAUUAAUUUAAAUUUAUUUUCAUACAACAUUUAUACAACAUUGCUUUAUAUUUUCAACUCUUCCAAAAACUUCAUUAACCCACUCACUCACAUGUCCGUGCUAUGUUAAUAACUUGGCCAUCCUUGUUUAAGUGAAUGCCCUCACUGGUAGUCACUUCAUUGUACAGUGAACCCUCUGAAAUAAUUGUUAUAGAUUAAUUAAAACAAGUAAUAUAUUAAGUUGACAUAAUUGCAACAAUAGUUUAAUGACUUUUAGUUAACGAAGAUGAAAUGGUUGCAUUUCAUAUAUUGACACUGCUUAUGACAUUUUUUAUGUAAAAAUUAACAGAGCAAUAAACUGGUCACUAAUGCUAAUUAAACAUUUAAUUAUUCCUCAGCUUGUGAUUAUCCAAAUGGAUAAACCAUUAUUUAAAUGAACCAGAGUAGUUCCAGUUGGUAGGACUUCUAUCAAAUCCAUUUUUUUACAAUCUCAGUCCUUUUCUGCUCCUCUUGCACUUCCGCCAUUGACCAAUUUUUGAGAUCUGCUUCUAUUGUCUCUGUCCUCAGCUCAGCAAUUUCUAUUUGGUAGAUUCUUAUUCAUCUACAACUUCAUCUCCUGCACUCUUUCACUGAAUUCUUAUAGAAUUCAGUAAUCUAUGUGACCUUUUGACCUUGUCAUAAUGUAGAAAUCUGUAGACUCAACAAAAUUACCAAAUUUAUUUGAGGAUGACUGAGGUGAUUGUCAAAACAGUGACAAAACAGCAACUAUUACUUAUGUGUGUAUAUAUAUAUAUAUAUAUAUAUAUAUAUAUAUAUAUAUGUGUGUGUAUAUAUCAUUAUCAUCAUCAUCAUCAUUUUCUUCUUGUUCGUGUAACAUUUACGCUCCAUACUGCUAUGGUCACACUGUUUGACAAACUGAUGAAUCAGAGGAUUGUGCUGUGCUCCAAUGUUUUGGCAUGGUUGCUAUGGCUGCUACCAGCAACUUUACAGAGUGUGCUGGGUGCUUUUUUUCCAUGGCACCAGCACUUGUCAGGUCACUUUGCAACUUGCAAAACUAAAAUCCUGAAAGAGGCCCCUAUAACUGUAGAGUAAUCUUGUGGAGGAACAAGGAAAAGGGAUGGGAUGGGUGGGAUUAAAGUCAGUGGUUAGUGAGAAAAGAAGGGAUGAAAUGGUAAGGGCUGUGAGGUAUGUGGUAUAGAGAUGCUCAAGAGUUCUGACACAUUAUAAGAACAAGUUCAGCAUCUUUGUGUUGCUAGAAUGCCAGGAUCUGUGGUUUUCAUCCAGGACAAAUCCGUAGGCGCAGGAGUGGCUGUGUGGUAAGUAGCUUGUUUACCAACCACAUGGUUCCGGGUUCAGUCCCACUGCGUGACACCUUGGGCAAGUGUCUUCUACUAUAGCCUCGGGCCGACCAAAGCCCUGUGAGUGGAUUUGGUAGACGGAAACUGAAAGAAGCCCGUCGUAUAUAUGUAUAUAUAUAUGAGUGUAUGUGUGUCUGUGUUUGUCCCCCUAGCAUUGCUUGACAACCGAUGCUGGUGUGUUUAUGUCCCCGUUACUUAGCAGUUCGGCAAAAGAGACCGAUAGAAUAAGUACUGGGCUUACAAAAGAAUAAGUCCCGGGAUCGAAUUGCUCGAUUAAAGGCGGUGCUCCAGCAUGGCCGCAGUCAAAUGACUGAAACAAGUAAAAGAGUAAAAAGAGUAAAGAGUAUAUAGCCUUAAAAAAACUCAAGAUACUUCAGAGCUGAGUGAUUUUACCCUACUUAUUAAACACAAUUGCAAAUCAGAAAAUAGUUCUUUUGUACCAUUUAUAUAUAUUUCAGGUUUGUAAUUUUGGUUCACUUCGGAGUUAAGGUUACAUAUCACAGCAGUGAUAAACAACAAACACUAUGAAAUCCUGAUAUCUGCUGCACUUGUCUUUACCUCCAGUGUGAUUUUGUUUCACCUAGCUCUGAAGUAUCCUGUGCUUUUUAACACUAUAUGUCUGUAAAGGAAUUUUUACUGGAUGACAAACUGCAGUUCCUGGCAUUCAAACAACAAACAUAAUUUAUGUAUAUGAUAUUAAUAAUGUUUACAUCAUUGAGGUGCUUCUGUUAUGUAAUUUGAAUACACACACAUGCAUGUGCACACACACACAGAUAGACAAACAGACAGAGCUCUAGCCUCAUCAUUCCAACACACAUUUAACUCUUGACAGCCAGGUCUACUGCAACACCAAGUAUCACCAAUCAGACCAAUCUUUUAUCAUCUUGGCUCCAAAUCAGCUUUUCCACUCCAUUCAUGUCUUCCACAGUUUUUCUCUUCUACAGAUCCCUCUAACUUGGAACACACAUCACUUCCUUCUGCCACUUUAGUUCCUUCCCCACCCCCAUAUACACCACAUGCUCACAUCAGUGCAAUCUUCUCUCUUGUACACUUACUGUUAAUUAUGUCACUUAGUUAAUGAAAGUUAACGACUACUCUUACUGAGCUUUUCUGCCAUUUAAAAGCAACUGUGGUGUGGCUGUAACACUUACUGCUCUAAUGCAUCAGUCACACAGACAGUCUGCUUUCUCUGCCGGUGAUUUCUCUACACUUAUUGUACAUCCAUAGUUUAUGCUAGGUGGCCUUCUACGUGGGAUGGAGCCAGCCUACGUAUGCACACCUUCCCUUCUUGGGACAUAAAACUCUACUUGUGAAGACCUGUUGAGGCAAGUGAGGAUCAGAAUCGAAAUCGAUCAAAUGGAAAUUGCAGAUGUGUUACCAGUGCCGGUGGCAUGUCGAAACUCUACUUGUGAAGACCUGUUAAGGCAAGUGAGGAUCAGAAUCGAAAUCGAUCAAUGGAAAUUGCAGAUGUGUUACCAGUGCCGGUGGCAUGUAAGAGAACCUUCCGUUUCGCGACCAUUGCCAGCGCCGCCCCGACUGGCCUCGUGCCAGUGGCACGUAAAAAGCACCAUCCGUUCGUGGCCGUUUGCCAGCUCUGUCUGGCACCUGUGCGGGUGGCACGUAAAAAGCACCCACUACACUCACAGAGUGGUUGGCAUUAGGAAGGGCAUCCAGCCGUAGAAACACUGCCAGAUUUGACUGGGCCUGAUGAAGCCUCCUGGCUUCACAGACCCCAGUAGAACCGUCCAACCCAUGCUAGCAUGGAAAACGGACGCUAAACGAUGAUGAUGAUGAUGAUGAUGAUAGCAUACACAGUUUAUAGUUUACUACUUUCCUGCAUGUGGUGGUGCAAUGGACCAGUGGUUAGGGCAGCGGACUCGCGGUCGGAGAAUCGUGGCUUCAAUUCCCAGACCGGGCGUUGUGUGUGUUUAUUGAGCAAAAACAUCUAAAAGCUCCAUGAGGCUCUGGCAGGGGGUGGUGGCGACCCCUGUUGUACUCUUUUGCUACAACUUUCUCUCACUCUCUCUUCCUGUUUCUUGAGUAACGCUGCAAUGGACUGGCGUCCCGUCCAGUUGUGGGGAACACAUACGCCACAGAAACCGGGAAACUGGGCCCAUGAGCCUGGCUAGGCUUCAAAAGGGUGACGUUUAUCAUUUUUCUUUCCUGCACAUUGAGCAAGAGCACUUUCUUGAUGGUACCAAGUCCUGUUUUCUGCCUACAAACACCAUAGUCUUAGACAAGUUUAUCUUGAUUCUUGGUUUUCCUUUCACCUCUGGAUUUAUACAAUUAAGAUUACUUUUAACAUAUUAAUUAUUAGCUAUUUAACCUUAACCUUUGAACUCAUAAGUCAUGGAGUCACGACUCAUGACAAAGCUGGUUGCUAUAACAAAUUCCUUUAAUUCCAAAAGGAGUGCAGUUUCUAACCUGGUUAGACAAUUUUUAUUUAAUGAAGGUGGUUAAGAUAACAGAGAUCAUUAUUAAUUAUUGUGUGUGUGUGUACCUUUGUCUAGACAUCACUUAAUGGUUGUAAAAUGUGCAUCAUUGUCAUACAAGUAAAGUUGUUCAUUCCUAGUCUUCAAAGAAAAACAUGUCUGACCAUGGGGGAAAUAUUAUCUUGCUUGGAAACAGGUGAUGGUCAGUGAUGAGAAAGACAUCCAGAUAUAGAAAUUUGCUGCAGCAAAUUCCAACUGACCCAUUAAAGCAUGGAAAAGUGGUCAAUAUUAUUAUUAUCAUCAUCAUUAUUAUUAUUAUUAUUAUUAUUAUUAUUAUUAUUAUUAUUAUUAUUAUUAUUAUUAGUAGUAGUAGUAGUAGUAGUAGUAGUAGUAAUAAGGUGGUGAACUGGCAGAAUCGUUAGCACGCUGCACGAAAUGCUUAGUGGUAUUUCAUCCAUCUUCAUGUUCUGAGUUCAAAUUCUACUGAGGUUGACUUUGCUUUUCAUCCUUCUGGGGUCAAUAAAAUAAGUACCAGUCUGUACUGGGAUUGAUGUAAUUGAUUAUCCUCCUCCCCCAAAUUUCAGGCUUGUGCCUAUAGUAGAGAGGAUUAUUAUUAUUAUUAUUAUUAUUAUUAUUAUUAUUAUUAUUAUUAUUAUUGGCAGUGAGCUGGCAGAAUUGUUAGCACACCGGGUGAAUUGUUUAGUGGUACUUCGUCUGUCGCUACAUUCUGAGUUCAGAUUCUGCCAAUGUUGAUUUUGCCUUUCAUCCUUUUGGGGGUCGAUAGAUUAAGUACCAGUGAUACACUGGGGUCAAUGCAAUUGACUCAUCUCUUCCCCCAAAAUGGCUGCCCUUGUGGCAAAAUUUGUAACCAUUAUUAUUAUUAUGAUGAUAAUGUAUCUAUAUGUUUGUAUGUAUGUUUGUGUGUAUAUAGUGCUGAUAGUUAAUUCCUUCCCAUGGGACCAUGCUAGUGUCUAAGAACUUAGAUACCACCUGUCUUUUGUUUUAACAACUAUGGCAGAAAUCUACUGAAUAUUGUUGUGUCCAAAUUUCUUGAUACCAGCCUGGAACCAUAUAGUGAAGGUAACUACAAGCACCCUGUGUGUGUGUGUGUGUGUGUGUGUGUUUAAUCUAGUAUUUUUGUGUGCUUGUUUCAUAAAAAAAUUGCAUGGAGACAGGUUUAUUUAGCCAGAGGGGAAGCAGAUAAGAAAAAAUUUGCCAAUGUUCUGUGCCGUGAGGACCAAAGACUUGAGGUAUUUCGUGUUGCAAGACAGUGUGUGAGAGAGAAUCGUGAUGUGGUAGGAGAGAAAUGUGUUCGCAUGGAUGAUGGUUCACUUGCGCUAAAUGAGGAUGCAAAGAGAGAGGUUUGGAGAUGCCACUAUGAAAGGUUGCUGAAUAAAGAAAAUGAAUGGAAUAAAGAGAGUCUGCCGAAUGUCGACCCAACAGAGGGACCAGCCAUCCGAGUUGACAGUUCUUUGGUAGUUAAGGCAAUUAGAAGCAUGAAGACAGGGAAAGCCCCAGGCCCAUCAGGAAUUACUGCAGAGAUGCAGUGUCGGCUAUGGCCUAGUCACCCGUAUAGUUAACCAGGUGAUACACGAAGGAGUCAUACCCGAUGACUGGUGUAGCAGCAUAAUAGUCAACUGCUGCAAAGGUAAAGGUGACGCCCUAGAUACAAGUAAUUACAGAGGUAUCAAGCUGUUGGAUCGGGUAAUGAAGGUUACGGAGGGGAUCAUAGCCCAACUGAUUAGGGAGAGAGUCAACUUGGAUGAGAUGCAGUUUGGUUUCGUGCCGGGGAAAAGCACCACUGAUGCCAUAUUUCUGGUGAGACAGCUGCAGGAAAAAUACCUAGCCAAAGAUAAACCUCUGUACCUGGCUUUCGUUGACAUGGAGAAAGCCUUUAACAGGGUCCCCUGAUCCCCUAUCUGGUGGUCAAUGGGGAAACUAGGGAUAGAUGAAUGGUUAGUGAGAGCUGUGCGAGCCAUGUACAGGGACGCUGUUAGUAAGGUGAGGGUUGGCAACGAGUACAGUGAAGAAUUCCAGGUAGAGGUUGGGGUCCACCAAGGUUCAGUCCUCAGCCCCCUUCUAUUUAUCAUAGUCCUCCAAGCAAUAAUGGAGGAAUUCAAGACAGUAUGCCCCUGGGAGCUCCUCUAUGCUGAUGACUUUGCCCUAAUUGCUGAGUUACUAUCAGAACAGGAGGAGAGGUUUCAGGUGUGGAAACAAGGAUUAGAAUCGAAGGGCCUUAGAAUCAACCUAGCCAAAACCAAUGUUCUAAUAAGUAGGAAGGUAGACAAAUCACAAACACCUUCAGGUAGAUGGCUCUGCUCGAUCUGUAGAAAAGGCAUAGGUAGAAACUCUAUAAGAUGCACCAAGUGUAAGCUAUGGACACAUAAGUGGUGCAGCAAUGUCAAAGGAAGGCUAACUAGGAAGAUAGUUUUUGUAUGUGGCAGAUGCUCAGGAGCAAUAAACACUGAAAAUGCUCUGAGACCAUCUUCCGCCACAUUCCAGGGAGAAAAACUAGAAAUAGUUGAUAGCUUCCGUUACCUAGGUGACCAGUAGUGAGGGCAGGUGUGCUGAAAGUGUAACUGCCAUAGUAAGAAUAGCCUGGGCAAAGUUCAGAGAGCUCUUACCUCUGCUGGUGACAAAAGGCCUCUCGCUCAGAGUAAAAGGCAGAUUGUAUGACGCAUGUGUACGAACAGCUAUGCUACAUGGCAGUGAAACAUGGGCCGUGACUGCUGAGGGUAUGCGUAAGCUCGCAAGAAAUGAAACCAGUAUGCUCUGCUGGAUGUGUAAUGUCAGUGUUCAUACUCGACAGAGUGUAAGUACUUUGAGAGAAAAGUUGGACCUAAGAAGCAUCAGUUGCGGUGUGCAAGAGAGACGUUUGCGCUGGUAUGGUCAUGUGGCGAGAAUGGAUGAAGAUAGUUGUGUGAAAAAGUGCCACACCCUAGCGGUUGAGGGAACCUGUGGAAGAGGUAGACCUAGGAAAACCUGGGAUGAGGUGGUGAAGCAUGACCUUCGAACUUUAGGUCUCACCGAGGAAAUGACCAGAGACCGAGACCUUUGGAAGUAUGCUGUGCCUGAGAAGACCCGGCAGGACAAGUGAGGCCAUAAUCCCGUGACCUCUACCUGGGAUGUAGCCAGCCCACUUAUGCAUUCCUUUCCUUCUUGGGACACAAAGUUCCACUUGUGAAGACCUGUUGAGGCAAGUGAAAAUCGAAAUCAAUCAACAUCAAUGUAGCUGUGAUACCAGUGCCGGUGGCACAUAAGAGAACCAUCCGAACGUGGCCGUAGCCAGCGCCGCCCUGACUGACCUCCAUGCCGGUGGCACGUAAAAGGCACCAUCCGAUUCGUGACCAUUGCCAGCUUCGUCUGGUCUCUGUGCCAGUGGGACGUAAAAAGCACCAUCCGAUUCGUGGCCGUUGCCAGCUUCGUCUGGUCUCCGUGCCGGUGGCACGUAAAAAGCACAAUCCAAUUCGUGGCCAUUGCCAGCUUCGUCUGGUCUCCAUGCCGGUGGCAUGUAAAAAGCACCAUCCGAUCGUGGCCGUUUGCCAGCCCCGUCUGGCACCUGUGCCGGAGGCACGUAAAAAGCACCCACUACACUCACGGAGUGGUUGGCAUUAGGAAGGGCAUCCAGCUGUAGAAACACUGCCAGAUCAGACUGGGCCUGGUGCAGCCUUCUGGCUUCCCAGACCCCAGUUGAACCAUCCAACCCAUGCUAGCAUGGAAAGCGGACGUUAAACGAUGAUGAUGAUUAGCAUUUUACCUUUUACAUAUUACAUUUGAAAUCUUUUUGUUAUUAAAGGGUAAAACUGACUCUAUAACUUAUACAAAUCAUUGAAGAACAAAAGCUUACUCAAAUUCUAUGACAUCAGCCAUUUUGCUUAUCAAACAUUCCAGUUUUCUAUUGUUGUCUCAUUAAAAGAACUGACAGUAGUUUUGCUGUCAUUUAUGCAACAUAAAACUUAACUAAUUUAUUUUCUCAUAAAAGAUUAAUGGAUCUUCUGUCAUAUUUACCCCAUUUUCACAUAACAGCAAAUCUAGUCAUUUUCUUUUCUACUCCAAUACUAUUAUAAGAUAUCUAAAAUACCACCAGAGCCUUUUUUUUUUUGACAAUUUGUUGCACUGCAGGGAAUUAGAAAUGUCAGUGUCCUCUGCUCACUACUGCUAUAUACAUUCAAUUGUAAUGUACCAUUAGUGAAGAUAUUUCUACUACAAACAUUUAACCCAGAUAAUGGCUUCCCUCCACCCUACAUGAUAGAUGAUUUGAUAUCAAUAUGCGAGGAACUGAAGUAGUCACAAGCAGCACAGAUUCUUUUUCUUCAAUUAAUUUGAAGCAAAAUUAGAAACAAUGGAUUGAAUUAAAAUGGUUUGAAUUAAAAGAAUCUUCUUGUGAAGAAACAUUCGAGUACAAGGUGUAAAUAGACAAAUGUUUUCUGAACUAGCUGCAGCAGACACAAGUUUGACAAUAUUAAGCAAAGAGAAAUCUGUCAGAGUCUACCACUGUAGUAACUUAAUGUUCCCAGAAGCUAUGAUGAAUUCAGAGAAAAGUUGUCCAAAUCACAUUGAAAACUCUCAACUAAAUUUGAAGUUAGCUUCUGUGAGUUCUUCAUCCGAUAUUGUAUGUAGCGUGUCACAUAUUUAAUUAAUGUCAAUAGCGUUCCAUUCUAUAUAUUGCAAUUACUGUGAUGGUGUCUUGUUACGUCUUCUGAAAGCACCCUGCAUUAAAAAAUUUGUGGGUUUGACUUAUAAUAUAGAAUUCUUUGUUCUUCUACAGGGUGCAAAUACAAUCCACUAUGGAAUAUUGCUUCUAUCUUUGAACAACAGUUCAACUUGCAUGCUGUGUUUCCAUUUGCUUCUCAACAGAUCUCUCCAUCACAGCUCAUUUAUCUAGUCUCUCUUUCCCCUUUAUUUUUAUCAUUCAACCUAAAUUUUAAAGAGUAGAAGUAUGUCACAUAGGAAGCACUUUCUACCUUUUAUUGUUUUAAAAUCUAUAACUUACCCACUAUAAAAUACAAAACUAUAACCACAUUCAUAUUAUAUUUCACACUUUUGUGUGCAUAUUACAGACAAGCUGUGAGCAUUGUCCUUCCUUCAAGGAACAACAAAUACAGAAAAAUCAAUGGCAUUCAUCACCUGCUACUGAUGAAUCUAUGCACCUGGAUGGUUUCUAACCAAGGCAUACGCUUGGUUAAGGUAUUUUGAAAAAGUCUUGCUCUGCAGAUGAUGUUUUCAAGGAAAAGAAAGCCAGCGCUGAUGAAGUGAGGCACAGUGUGAUGAUAAAAUAAAGAUAAAGAUCAGAACAUUUGUAACAGUUGAUAAUUUAAUACACAGUGAUAAAUUUGUAGAGUGUGGGGAGUACACCGACCAUGGUGAAUUGAGUACAUAAAUCAUGCUGAGUAUAUGGAGGGUGGUGAGGUUGCUGACUGAUCAAAUUUUAUUCAAUUCUUGUGGUAUUUUGUCUUUUUGUUGAUCAAAUAAAAUCAGAAAAAUCCAGAAUUGUCCAUUUGAUUUGGUAGAAUUGAAACAGUUUGUUGUGUGAAGCAAUGGACACAUGUUACAAGAAUAGACUAAACUCUGGGCUGUAAACAAUGUAAAAUCAAUAGUGAAACAUAGAACUGGGUGGAAUCUAGUGAUUUUCUGCGUCAGUAACUAAAGUACCAAGAGUAAGAAUAGUGGAAUAGUGGAAGAGUAGAACAGUGGAGUAGUAGAAUAGUGGAACAGUGGAAGAGUAGAAUAUAUAUGUUCUGUUCUGGAGAAAAAAAUAAAAUAGGUUCACCAUAGAUUUAAUAAGUUUUAGAAAAGACUUAACAUUGAUUCAACAGUUUUCAUCAUCGUCAUCAUCAUCAUCAUCAUCAUCAUCUUCUUCUUCUUCUUCUUCUUCUUCUUCUUCUUCUUCUUCUUCUUCUUCCUCCACCCUUUGUGGGUUCAAUACCAUGAAUUGCCAUUUCAAUAGUUCUGCUGCUUUUCUAUUCGUUGUAUUUUAAAUCUGGCCAAUUCUUGAUAUUACAACCCUAUAUAAUAUUGUAUGGUUAUAGGUGAAAAAAGUUGUCAUAUUUCCAGUAAUUAAAUCACCGAAGUUAAUUAUUCAGAAAAACAAUAAUCAAAUUAGUGUUAACAUAUUUACUAUAAGGGACAUUAACAAUUUGAUUAGAAAUAAUUUUGUGGUGAGGAAAAAACAUUAAUAAGCCUGAAACUUGCCUAGAGUUAGCUCCCAUGUUUACUGCAAUGAUUAAAUUAAUAUAUAAUAUCUUGUAUUGACAUCUAUAGAAUAUAUUUCUAGAUUAUUACGACAGAAUAGAUGUGUAGAAUAAAGUAUAUACACCUAUAAGUAUUCAGCCAAUACUGCAUGUUCAAACAUGUUUAAAUGCCACCUUAAUAAUAAACGCAACUAUGCCUCUCCUACUUACAUACCUACUUCUCAAACGUGGUGGGUACUUUCUUCUAAACCAACUUUCACUAUUCUUCCAAUUCUGUCUUGAUAAUGGUGUUACUCCAGAGCAGUGGAAAACUGCCAGUGUUAUCCCUCUGUUCAAGAAAGGUGACCACACAUCACCUGUCAACUAUCGCCCCAUUAGUCUUACUAGCUGCAUCGCCAAACUGAUGGAAUCCUGUGUCAGGGAAACCCUCUGGAACUUCUGGAAGUCUCACAGCCUCAUCCAGCCGUCACAAUUUGGAUUUAUUCCUAACUCCAGCUGCUGUAAUCAACUCAUCGAGUUUCUUGAGGACAUUACCUAAAUCACUGAUCGCGGAUCCUGGGUGGAUGUUGUUUACCUGGACUUUGCUAAGGCUUUUAACUCUGUGCCACACAAAAGACUUAUGGUGAAACUCUCUGCAUUGGGCGUAAGAGACGAUCUCUAUAACUGGUUGAAGUCCUUUAUUUUUGGCCAAAAAGAGGUUGUCACAGUUCUAGGACAGCAUUCUUCACCCUAUGAGAUGACAUCUGGUGUACCACAGGGAUCUGUUCUUGGCCCCCUUUUAUUUGUUGCAUAUGUUAAUGUCUUAAAGAAUGCCACAGUGCUGAAAUAUGCAGAUGACAUCAAGCUGUACCUCAAAAUAAAGAGGUCAGAUCCUGUACACUAUAGAUCUCUAUUGCAAUCAGACCUGGACACAAUGCAGCAGUGGAUCAUGGACUGGCAACUGAAGCUGGCUGUGGACAAAUGUACCACCAUGCAUUUUGGGAGGAAAAACCCAGCGUCUACUUACUCCCUCCACAACACUAAUCUCAAAAAGUCUUCGUGUGAAUGUGACCUGGGUGUUAUUGUCGACAGCGAUUUGCGUUGGACAAAACACAUCGCUAAAAUUGCCAAGAAGGCUGAGGGUGUUUUGGCAUCACUCACCAAGUCCUUUGUGAGCCGCUCUCCGGCUAUCUAUCUGCGGCUUUAUAUAGCUAUGGUACAACCUCACCUGGAAUUUGCAUCACCGGUCUGGAACCCCUAUCUUGCCCAGCAUAUUAAUCGUCUGGAAGCCGUUCAGCGACGUGUAACCAAAAGAAUACCCUCCAUCAGGAGCACUGCAUCUUUCAAAACUUUCAUGCUUCCUGAGAUUCGCCAACACUACACCUAAUUUUCUCCCCUCCAUACGCACACAAGCAUGUAUCCGACUCAUACACUAUUCGCUUUCUAGACAUUUGUACAUUACUGCAUAUACUUUAUGUGCACUUUUUGACAAGUUGUGGUGCACCUGAGCACUGUAUACAAUAAUUUCAUGAUCAUUAUUAUUAUUAUAGAUGUAAGCAUAUUGUCUUUCUAUACACUGUCUUAGGAGACAGCAAAGGAGAACUCAACUAGACUAAUAUACAUUGAGUGUUGGCUAAAAAUCAAUAGAUAUACCCAAUAGCAUUGAAAAUUAACACUGUUAAUUUAUUGCAGUUUCUUUAAAUAAUAUUAGUCAUUUAGCUAAUAUUGUCUUUUCCUCACCACAUAGCUAUUUCUGAUUAAAUAUUUAAUGCUCGCUACAUUAAAUAUGUUACCAUUAAGAUAACUGUUGGUUUACGUAUAGAUAGCAUUACUGAAUGAUUAAGGUCUGUGAUUUAGUGUUUUUAAUAUUGAGAAAGAGUAUUUUAAAGAUAGCUCCUGAUCAUGUGAUGCGUAUGGAUGUGGACAGCUGCGUGAAGAAGUGCCGAUCUCUAUCAGUGGAAGGAAACUGUGGAAGAAGGAGACCCAGGAAGAUGUGGGACAAGGUGGUGAAGCGUGAUCUUCGAAUGUUGAGCCUCUUGGAGGCAAUGACUAGUGACUGAAACUUUUGGUAAUAUGCCAUGCUUAAGAAGACCUGUCAAAGCAAGUGAAAUCAUAGUUGUGGCUGUUGUUGGUGUCAUGUAACUGGCACAUAGAGAGCACCUUUCAAGCACUUGGGCCUCAUGGAGGCAAUGACACAUGACCAAUACCUUUGGCAAUAUGCUGUGCUUGAGAAAAAGAACCAUCAAGCCAAGUGAAAUCGUAGUCAUGACAGAUACUGGUGUCAUGCAACCGGCACGUAAAAGCACCCAUUACACUCUCAGAGUGGUGCGUGUAAGGAAGGACAUCCAGCCAUAGAAACCAUGCCAAUCAGACUGGAGUUUGGUGCAGCUCCUUAGCUUUCCAGCCCUAGUCAAACCAAUGCCAGCAUGGACAACAGGCACUAAAUGAUGAUGAUGAUGACGAUGACGAUGAUGGUGAUGACAAUGACGAUGAUGAUGAUGAUAAAGGCUAGAUUCCUAACAUAGUUUUGUUCUUUGUAUUUAAUUUCAUUGUCUCAUAAAAUGAACAACAACUAUAAACUCUGUAUUUUAGAAUUUCCUGUCUUUGUAUUUCAUCUUUGUAUUUCAUCUUGUGGCAUCUGAACUGACCUUUCCUCUUGUUGACUUCAUGUUCAAACUCUUCUUCUUUUGUCUCUGUCACACCCUUACCUUCAUACGAUGACCCUCUGCACAUAAUCACCUAACAUUCUACAUCUAUUCAUAUUACGUUACAAAACUAUUUCAUGUCCCCUUCCGAUCCCCUUUCCUCUUUGCUUUCAGUUCAUUUAGAGUCAGACUUUCUCAUAAAUUAACAUAUUUAAUGAAACAUACAUCCUUUAUUAUGGGUAUUUUCUCUUUGGAGUUUAUUCUCUAAAACAUCAUUCGCAUAGCAAGGUCAGCUCAUGUUGUAAGGUCUGCCGCUAACCUAAUGAACUGAGCCAAUUAAUUACUGUAUUCCCCAUUCUACAGUUCAUAAAAAUAAUCAUUUUUUUCUUUUUCUCCGUAAAGAAAGUCUCCCCAAAUCAUUCUGUAUCUUAGUGAUACUAAAAAGCCAAGUUGUAGAAUGGAGCUCAACAGUUGGGUCCAGAUUUCACUAGGGCCCGAACCUAUGGUUACAAUUUACUAAUUGUACUAAAUACUUCUCACUACCAUAGUCACCAUAUUUAUUAGUUUUGUAACGUUUUGAUGGUAAGCAGAAAUUUACGGUGAUUUAGUGGCAUCAGUAACCUAUGGUUACAAUUUACUAAUUGUACUAAAUACUUCUCACUACCAUAGUCACCAUAUUUAUUAGUUUUGUAACGUUUUGAUGGUAAGCAGAAAUUUACGGUGAUUUGGUGGCAUCAGUGGUGAGUGAAGAAUCAUUUGUUUGGUGUAUUAGGAAUUGACAAUGUCUUGGCUUUUGUAGGCAGGCAGAAGUAACAGCAAAGUAGACACCAUCUGUUACGUGUCAGUUUAGUUAUUCAGCCAAUAGUAACCUUCUACAACACUGUACAAUGUCAAUUAUGCAGGUUGCAGAGAAAACAGACGUACAUAAUUAGUUACAAGCUACAAGUUGUUAAAAUAUACCAAACAACAUGGCAACUAGACAGUUUAGAGACAGUAUGAACCAUCGCCAGCUGGAAAGAAUGAUUCAUGAAUGAAGACAACUGAAUGAGGCAUUAAUGAACACAAGAAUAAGCGAAAACAAAAAGGAAAGACUGUCAUUAAGAAGCCAAAUUUUCUCAACUGUAGAAAGAUAUAAAAUUAUGGCUACCCAGUCAAUUAUGUGUUGGGUAGAGAGGCUUCAACAAUAAUGUGCAAGGUAAAGUGAGUGGUAGAAAAGGGAAAUGUACCAGCAGGUGUGUUUGCUAGAUCAGCAUCUUGGUGCUACCAUUUUCACGAAGAGGCAUGAUUUAAUGACAGGAUCACACAGAUGUAUGAAGAAUACGAAGGAAAAAUCUUGGACUUGAACAAACAUGUGAACAGUAACAGGAAGAAGGAAAGAGAUUUAAAUAUAAAGCAAAUUAGCGAAUAUUAACAUUUGAUAGGCCCUCAAAGAAAAUGAAGUUGUAAAGAUGGUGACUAUAUAACCAUAUUGUUAUUUUGGUUUGUUGUGCCAGCAGGUAAAGCUGAAUUUAUCUUGGAAGAUUAUGAAAACAUAGAAACAGCAGCAGCAAUGAUAAUGCUAUUGAUGACAUUAGUGGAUGAUGUGUAUGUUUGUAAUAUAACAGUAUGUUUUAAUAUACAGUAAACUAAGCAUGGAGUUUGUGACAUUCUCAAGAAAUAUAUUUUACAUUUAAGUUGAAAGUUAAGAUACUUCUAUUGACUCUUUCUCUCAUCACCUUCUCUCUCCCUCCCUCCCUCUCUCUGGAUAUGAGAUUGUGGGUGCACCAAUGAUCUUCACAUUACUGAAUGGCUACCAGGGGAUGUAAGGGUAGUUGGGACUUGGUAAUAUCUCUGAAAUGCUUGUACAGGUACUUAGGAUAACAAACAAGCACAGUGUACAAUUUGUAGUAAUUAUAUCCAGUAACAGUGGAGUAAACUUAUUAAUGUACAUCCAUUUUAUUCUAAAUUAAAUAUUUUUAAAAAAUAAAUUUUUGAUGAUGCUUUGAAUUGUCAAAAAUUUCUUUUAAAAAUAUAACUUGUUAAUUAUGUAUAAGGUAAGACUUAUCAUUUGUAACUUUUCAUGAAGCAGAGUAAUUAUGCUCAUUAAAAUUACACUACUAAUGAGGAGAAAGAAUUGUUUAAUUAACAAUUAUGGUCAAGGAAGUUACACUACAUUGACCAUAUUUUAUUUUUAAUUAGUUUUGAUUUCAGAGUUGUCUACCCUGCCACUCUUACUUAGAAUUAAUCAUUAAACCAACAAUACUCUCUCUUCACCAUGGCUGUGUAAUUUGAAUUAAAACAUUGUUUGUUUCACUCUAAUGUUUGUCAAUAUUGUUUUUACAAUCUCCUAUGAGUGUCAACAGAAACACCCAGUCGAUGUAACUGCAAUAUCACUUGGGAGAACUGUAUUUUCUUUGUUAUUGCUUCUGUAGACUUGAAAUUGAUCUUACACUAGUAAUACUAGUUUCUUUAACUGACCACCUGGACACUGUGACCAUAUUUUCCCUAACCACAGAGUUACCACUGCCUUUGUCCAUUUACUCUUUGUGAGGAACCUGAAUAAGAACACCAGACAGAUUAAUUUCUUUGGAUGUUGUUUCUCAUUUACAGAUUAGUAAAAGAUGGGAGUUUUGUGCCAUCAACACAACAGGCUAAAAUAGCAAUAUAAUUGUAUAGUCACCAUCUUUACAACUUUAUUUUCAACAGUUUGAUGGCCUCUUAAAUAUUAAUGCUACUCUAUUUUUAUUGGCUAGUUUGAUCUAGAUCUAAAUCCCUGUCCUUCUUCCUGUCAUUGAUCACAAAUCUGUUAAACUCCAAAGGUUUUGUUCUUCAUAUUCUUUAGACAUCUGUGUAAUCCUGUCUUUAAGCCAUGUCUCUUCAUGAAAAUAGUAAUGCCUCAGUAAUUUACCCUCAUAAUAGUUUGCCUCUUAUAUGAUUGCAGGGAUAGGUAUAUUUUGCAAUCCCAACCUUAAAAUUUCAGUUUUAAAGACCCUAAUGGGUUUUGAACUCAGAACUUAAAGCUUUAUAACUCAAUACAAGGUGUUUUGUUUGUCACCCUGCCAAUCUUUGGCCCUAAAUAGAGGUGUUUCAACCCUUUCUUAACAUGAAAUAGUUGUUGUCUAAAACAGAUGUUUCCUCAAAUUGGAAUCAGUUUUCUGACUUUCAUAUCCUGCAGAAAUGUCUGAAACUCUAAAGAUUUCUGAGAACAAUGAUUGCUUUAACAAUUUCUGCUGAAGCUUGUUUAUCUGUCUCCAUUGAACAAGGGCUCCCUGUUCACAGUACAUGUCAAUACUAUAAACCUGUGUAUUUAACAAAACUGCAGGGCAACCAACAUCAAAAGGCGUCCAACACAGAAUGACAUUGAAUCAAUGUGGAACACAACUAUAGUGUGGUUGGCUUCUAAUUAAUGAUGGAACCUUUUUAUGGUCAACUGAACUACUAAAAGUAGAAGCCAAAUCUCCCUCUUCACAUACCAAGCAUGUUAUUUUUUAACUGUGUUGUUGUUGUUGUUGCUGUUGGCUCCAGAUGAGACCUGAUCCAACAGAACUUUGGAAAAAUGUAUUCCAACCAUGAUCAUCCCAUAAUUUUGUAUAGUUAGGACAACUUUGUUGUGUCCUUCCUUUUCUUAGUGUGGUUUAUGAGAGUGUUAUUAUGCCUAGCAGGUUGCCCAGCCACGCAUGUCAUUCGUUCCUACCGACUAAUCAAUGAGAGUCAGAAACAGUGUCACACAAUACUGUUAUAUUUUGCAAUGUUGUCUCUACAAAAUGAAUGCCUGCCUCAAUACAACAACAUCAAACCAUUUAAACUAAAUCACUGUAAAUGGAUUACCUUUACUGCUGACCUGUUUCAAGAAAUACAAAACUUACAAUUGAAACUCGAGAGUCAAUACUACCUGUAAUCGCUGUUGUAAAUACAUUUCACAGGUUUUGGUGUGGGUUUGAGGGGUGGGAAGGAAGUUGUGUCAUUGUACACCAGUGAAUUUUCUUCUCCCAAAGAAUUUUACUCUCAUUGCACAUUAUAGCGAAUAUAAAUACCUUGUCACACUUUAGGUAUAAAGUCCAAAAAAAUAUUCAAAAAAUAUAUUUGUAUUAGGUUUAAUAUGGGAAUGUAAAUAAUGCAAAUUUUACAAGAAUAUUAAUUACACACUUAUCUAUUAAUUAAGAUUAUUAAAAGAAACACAGAACUUUCUGGACUUUUGGUGACUAUAUAUUGGGUCAUCUUUGAGAUAAACACACCUUCCUUUCAUCCUCUCAUUGUAUUUUCCACAUCUUAAUAAUACGAAAACUCUACAGAUGUUUGUGUGUACCUGAAAUAUCUCAGAAACAGUAUAUUUUUAUCUUAAUUGGUUUUUUUGCCUAUUUAUUUUCAUAUUUACCUUUGGCAGUGCAAUACAAAUUUUUGUGACAUUUAGACCUUUAUAUAUUAAUGAAAACAAAUAAACACAAUUUUUGUGUUUACUCAUGACAUACAGAAUAUACACAUACAGAAUAUACACAUUUAUAAUGAAUGUCAUGGCAUGUCAGUCAACACAAACACACAUCCGCUAUCUUUGACAUACACACGUACAUAGUCUUCACGCUCUCUAAGAAAAAGCAAAAAAGGCUGACUUUUUGAUGUACACAAUAUUUUAAUCAUUUAGAAAUAUUUUUAACUGAAUGUGAUUUAAAAAAUGUAUAGUUUUUUUGUUCAGUAAGUAUUUAUAUUUUAGCUUUCUUUAAAGAGACAAUAUCUUAAUGUUUUUUUUAAUUAUUUUCAAGUCGUCAAUUUCUGUAAAAAUUUUUUAUUUAUUUACUUUUGUUCUAAAGUAAAGAUGUAUGUACGUGUGUGUGUGUAUGAAAGAGAGAGAGGAAGAGAGAAAAAGAGAGAGAGAGAAAGAGAGCAAAAGAGAGAGAGUGAGUGAAGGGGUGUGUUGUCAAAUAUAUGUACAUACAUCAUUGCAUAUUCGUACAUCUUUUUUGUAUGUAUGUGUGCAUGUGUGUGUGUGAGAGAGAGGGAGAGAGAGAGAGAGUGAGUGAACGUGUGUGUUCUCAUGUAUGUGUAAGUGGCACUCUCUCUCUCACACACACACAUGCACAUCUAUUUCAUAUACAUGUUCAUACAUCUUUCACUUUAAAACAAAAGUAAAUAUAUAAAAAAUUUUUUACGGAAAUUAACGAACAAAACUUCAUAAAGUUUAUGAGGGCCAAAAAAGAAUAUCCAUGUUCACUCUCAUUCACUCCUCAACCACUUUUGUUGGAUCCACUUAAUAAAUAAACCUGCUUGCACUUCUGAGCCACAGGAAUGCAGCACGAUCAUCUUUACAAUGUACUAGGAUGAUUCAACACAAUAAUAACAGCUGUUCAACAUAUCUGUUCAAUUAUUUACAUUAUUUACAUUUGGCGGAUAUUUGUUCACAUCGCCUUCAUCAGGUGUCUUGGGGAAAUUUCAAACCUGGGUUCUCAUUCCUAAGGUAUUUUUCAAUGUUGUUGUUGUUGUUGUUGUUGCUGUUGCUGUUGCUGCUGCUGCUGUUGUGAAGGUGCAUGGCUCAGUGGUUAGAGCGUCGAGCUUACGAUCGUAAGGUUGUGAGUUCGAAUCCUGGACCAGGCUGUGUGUUGUGUUCUUGAGCAAGACACUUUAUUUCACAUUGCUCCAGUUCACUCACCUGUAGAAAUGAGUUGCGAUGUCACAGGUGCCAAGCUGUAUCGGCCUUUGCCUUUCCCUUGGAUACAGUGGGGGCGUGGAGAGGGGAGGCCGGUAUGCAUGAGUGACUGCUGGUCUUCCAUAAACAACCUUGCCCAGACUUGUGCCUGAGAGGGUAACUUUCUAGGUGCAAUCCCAUGGUCAGUCAUGACUGACGGGGGUCUCAGCAUAUUAUUAUUAUUAUUCAGGUCACUGCCUGGAAUCGAACUUGGAAUCUUGGGGUUAGUAGCCCGCACUCUUAACCACUAUGCCAUAUGCCCAUGGGCAUAUCUGUUCAAGUCAGAAAUGUUUGUGCACUGGACAAGGACAAAAUGGUUUUGUUGCUCUGUACUCAUUCCAGACAGGCCCAGCUGAUGGUACUUCCACAUUUGUAGUUUAUCUCAAAUUUGUGAUACCGCCUGUUAGUUCUGCUUGGCCAAUGGUCUCUGUCCCAAAAGACUGAUAGAACAGACUAGCCACUUGAUUUUCAUCAACAACUUGAGUUUCCCCAUUAAUCAUCACUUUUGUCCGUCACUAAUUCUCUAUAUAGAACACCAACACAAAACUUCCACCUUACUGCACUGCUUGACUGGUAGAGGCCUGUGAGUACAUGAUGGCAUUUCAGAUGCCAAGUGCCCUGUCUUGGUCUUUGCUUGACCCCAGGACUGUUUUGGUAAAACAUGAACUGGGACAAAGCAUGAUGAUCAAGCAAUGAUAUAUGAUGAAAGCAUUGUAAGUAUUCACCACUUCUGCCGGACAUUUCAGUUCUUCAUUUCUGACUGAGAUUGGCCACUCUACUUGUCACUUCAUCCCAGUUCUUCUCCACUUGUAGAUUUAUACCACAACAGAUGUCGAACAAUUUAAUUGGUCUGUCUGUUCAGCACCACUUGAUGCUGUUGGAUGGUACGAACCUGAAUCUACUACUAAUAAUAAUAAUGUUUUCAUCAUCAUCAUCAUCAUCAUUAUUAUUAUUACUAUUUCACUAUUGCAUGUUAAUUUAGUUAGCAAGUAUUUUAUCUUGAGGGUUGGUGACAACAAUGAGUCUCCUCAAAUCUCCAGAAUCUUUCUUAGGAUUCCUGCAGAAUAUAGGAUGGUACUUUUGUGCAGGUCAAUAGCGAGGGUUUCAAUUCCAAUCUCUUUCAGUCUUUUAGGCAGCAUUUCAGAUAUUGUUGUCUUGGUCUUCCAGUCUCCUCAGCUCUCUGGCUAGAUUCUGAUAUUUCUCAUUUUUUUUCAAUUUCUUUGGUGUCAACCCUGCUACUAUGAGGAAUUGUAUAAUCUAUGAUCUUGUACUAUUUGUUUAUUUUGUGUUCUAUAGUCAUGUCUGAUCAUCUUGCCUUAACAGCAUGUUCAGUCUUUAUGUUGAAGUUCCACAAGAUUUUGUCAUUCUCAUUUUCUAUCAUGUCUUCUAGUUUAUGUUCAUAACACUUUUCUAUUGUUUCGAAGCCACACACUUGGCUAAUAUCCCAACACACUCUUUUGCCAAUACAUUCAUGUCUAUGCUUAUACUCCUUUUGUGCUAGUUUACUGCACUUACUCAAAAUGUGAUUGAUACUUUCAUCUCCUUUCCUGCAGAUUCUACAUUUACUGUCUGACUGAAUUUUAUUGAUCUUUGCCUUUAUCAGAUUUGUUCUAAGGGCUUGUUCCUGAGUGGUUAUAAUUAGUGUUUCUGUUUCUAGUUUCAAGUUCCUAUUCUUCAAGCACAGUAAUCUUCACUUAUUCUUGGUUCGUUGCAUGAAUUGGCCAUACAGGUUCAUUUCUUUCCAUUUGUUUAUUCUGUUGUUCUUCCGUUUCUUUUUGAAUUCUCCUACUGCUUCAGUCACUUUUUAGGUAUCUCUGCUUGCCAAAAGUACUUUUAUAUUAUUCUGCACAAUAUAAUUGUUCAGGCCCAGUGUCACACUACUAACAGUGCCAUCUUCGGUGCUUAGUAAUCCUCUACUACCUCCAUUUCUUGGCAGAUAAAGUCAGUCAGUAUUACUCUUAGGGUGGAGUGCAUUGUUAGGUGCUUUCUAGUUCUUCUAUCCAAGUUCUACGGUUCGAUCUUUGUCCAUUUCAGAAAGGGAGCUGAGUAUCUCUGUACUGGCAUUACCCGUGUAGUUGUGGCUUUAAUGAUGUUCCCUCCAUUUAAUUUUUGUUUCAAGCACCUUCCUACGUCUCCUCUUGUAGUUUUUAGUGACUUCUCUUUCCAUUAUUUUAUUGUCUUGCAGCACUCCUAAGCAUUUGUAUGCCUCAUUAUUCUGCAGUGAUCUAAUUAUGUUGUCCAGUGGUAAUUUUAUGCCAUCAGAAUUUACCUUCCACCCUCUUUUCAUUACUAGCUCUGUGCACUUAUCUACCCCAAACUGCAUUCCAAUAUUUUACUGAAUACUCACACUGUUUGGAUCAGAGGAUUCAGGUCUGCCUCAUCUUUUCUAUGUAUCUUGAGGUCAACCAUAUAAAGUAGGUGAUUUAUUCUUUCUUGGUUUCGGUACACUCAUAGGCAGGCCUGGAUUUUCUUAGUAUAUUUCUCAGGGGGAUUAACGCAAUGAUGAAAAGUAACAAAGAGAGUAAGUCUCCUUGGAAAAUGUGAUCCAUUUGCACAUUUCAGUUUUACUUCCUACACUUUCAAUGCUUUCUCCAAAAAGUUAUCUUCUCAUUGACUCCAAGCAUCCUCAGAUACUCCAAGAGCCAGCUGUGUGGGCCAUUGUAAUAGGCCUUCAUGUAAUCUAUCCAUCCAACAGCGAAAUUCUUCCUCCUUACUCAUACUUCAUUUAAUAUUCUGCUGUCUACAUACAACAGAUCAACAAUUCCCCUUCAUUUCUUCCCACAUGUUUUUUGCUCUUCUGGCAAUAGGUUCUCCUUUUCCAGAAAAUUAUAUACUUCUGCUAUGAGACCAGUUAAUAACUUCCAGAGUAAUGGUAAGCAAGUAAUUAGUCUAUAAUUGCUGUCUCAGCCCUCUCUUUCCUUUGUUCUUCUGUAUCAAAACUGUUCUUCCUUUUAUUAUCCAUGUUGAUGUUUCAUUUUCUAGACACUGACUAAAAAAUAGUCAUGUGUAUAUUUGGGAGGUUUUUGAGCCAGAAACCCUGGGUGCCAUCUGGUGUGGGGAACGGGGGCUUUCCAGUUUGAUAUUAUUAUUAGUAUUAAGGCAGUGAGCUGGCAGAAUUGUUAGCACACUGGACAAAAUGCUUAGCAGUAUUUUGCCCCUUUGCUCCAUUCUGAGUUCAAAUUUUACCAAGGUCAACUUUGCCUUUCAUCCUCUCAGGGUUGAUAAAAUAAGUACCAGUGAAACAGUGGGGUCGAUGUAAUCGACUUGUCCCCUUCCCCAAAACUGCUGCCUUUGUGGCAAAAUUUGAAGGCAUUAUUAUUAUUAUUAUUAUUAUUAGUAGUAGUAGUAGUAGUAGUAGUAGUAGUAGGAGUAAGAGCAGCAGCAGCAGUAGUAGUACUAGUAGUUCACCUUCUUGGCAGAUAUCUACCACAGCUAGCAGCAGAAUGGGGAAUUCUCAGUUAAGUGAAUGAAAAAAAAACCAUAUUAUUUUCAAGAUGUUAGCAAAGCAGUUGCUGGUUGUCAUUGUUAGUCUCACUUAUGAUGUACAAUUUGUCAUUCCAAACAGAUCUAUCUAUAAAAACCUCCACUUCAUGUGAUACAUCAUAAGCAAGGUAAGCAAGGAACUUGAUCAACUUAGCUUAAUCACAUGCCUUCAUUAGAGUUGAUCAUAUUUGGUUGUUGUCCUCAUGGCAGCUGGUUCUGACCCCAUCUUCAGGGGCUGAAUUGUAGCAACAUUUGCUUGGUGGUUGGGCUAAAUGGCCACCCAUCAGAGUCAUUUAGUACCAUGCAUUCAGUCUGUCAUGGUUGUCCCCUCUCAUCGAUAUUGCAAGCAAUUUCCAUUUCCCCAUCGUAGUGUUGAGCACCAAACACACAGAGGAGACUGGCACUACUCUAAGGGAGCAUGAGGUGUUGAACCAAGAAAAAGUCUAGGUUUACAGCUUGGCACCUGGAAAGGCAAGUCCAUGCCAUCUAACAACUUCAUAGAACACUGGGAGAUGGGUAGGUUAAGUUGUUCUAGGUCUGGUUUGGUCCAAAUCUCUAUUUAGACAAGAACUGAGACAAGGUGAUGGACACAUUGACUAGUCUCACUCAGAGAUGGGUUGGAGAGUAAACUAUCCUUGAAAGGUUGAGCAGAGAUGCUGAAUGUCUACAUUGCAUCCAUCGUUUAUUACUGCCUGACCAUUGUGCUGGUCCUACUUCAUGUCUGAACAGACAGCAGCACCUGCUCUUUUACUUUCUGUUGAAAGGGGAUAUGUUCCACAGGUGAGGUGCUUCAUUUGCUGAAUGGAGGACUGGCCAUACUGUAGCUAAUGACACACAGACAUGCAUCAUCUCCAGCAUUUUGUUUACAGUAAACAGGUUGGUCACCAUUUGUCAAUGCAUUUCUCCACAGCUUUUCUCUUUGAUGGAACCUCAGUUCUGGGUCAAGUGAAGACCAAGGGAAGGCACUUGGUAUCUGGAAUGUUAUCAAACACUCACAGUCCUCUACCAGCCAGGCAAUGCAGUUGGUGGAAAUUCCACUUUAGCAUUCUAUAGCGAAUUAGUGGCAGGCAAGUAUGAUGAUGCCCUUGGCAAAAAGCUGGCCAUCAAUGAAAAUCAACAGGCUAGUCUGGUCUGGAGGACUUUCAGUCCAGGACCCAUGGAUAACUUCCAUAAAUCCCUGGCCUUAUUGUGUUACUUGGGGGGGGGGGCGGCAUUACCAGUUCAAGAUAAACUCUAGAGGUUGGGCCUAUCUUUAGAACAGAAAGACCAUUCUGCACACACUUGGUCAGUGCUCAAGCAUUGUUGGCCUUAUUAUGCUAAACGGUGCUAUCUCAUAUAGGAUAAAGCCAGCUAUCAGCUGACUCCAUUGUGGAGAUUGCACCAUCCUUUGACCAGGAAAGCCAGGCAGUCUUUAUCUAUCUGGUCGUCAUGACAAAAGAGAUUGUGUAGUGAAUGAGACUAAAAGAGCUAAAAACAGACACUUUCAUCUUUGAUAAAACUCUAACUUUUUCAGGUUUCAAUAGAAAAGGAAUAUAGAGGUGGAGAGAGAAGUGUUGGCUUUCAUCACAUUUGUUGAAAGCUAGAUGAAAGUGAUGAGUAUGGUCUGAGUCAGUGGGCCUACUCUGAGCAUGCUCUUUUAGGCUGGAGGAGGUUUGAAUGGGGAGGGCAAUUGCCUAAGUGGCCCAGGUGACCAUGCUUUUAUGGUGUUUCCAAAACUAGCCCUCAGGUCUCCCUUCUAUUGAGGAAUUUUCAUUAUUUAAAAUUUCAUUUAUUAUCACCUUGUUAUUUUUGUCAUAAAUCUGUGUUCACAUUUCCAACUCCUCUGUAUUUGUCUUUUUUCAUAUCAAUGUUCUUUGUACAUUUUAUGCAAGCCCUUUUGGCCAAUAAAGAAACAUAACUACUACUACUACUACUACUACUACUACUACUACUACUACUACUACUACCACCACCACCACCACCACCACCACCACCAUUACUACUAAGGCAAGCUGGCAGAAUUGUUAGCACACUGAGCAAAAUGCUUAUCAGCAUUUCUUCCGUCUUUACAUUCUGAGUUCAAAUUCUGCUAAAGUCAACUUUGCCUUCUCUUCCUUUCAGAGUCGAUAAAAUAAGUACAUGUCAAGUACUGGAGUUGUAAUUGAUAACUAUUCCCCUCCCCUCAGAAAUUUGAAGGUGGUGAGCUGGCAGAUUAAAUUUUGUCUAUCUUUAUGUUCUGAAUUAAAAUUUUACCAAGUUUGACUUUGCCUCUCACCCAUUCUGGGUCAAUAAAGUAGCAGUUGAGCACUGGGGGCAAUAUAAUUGACUAGGCCCCCCACCCACAAAUUUCAGGCCUUGUGCCUUUAGUAGAAAGUAUUAUUAUUAUUAUUAUCAUUAUUAUUAAGGCAGUGAGCUGGCAGACUCAUUAGCACACCGGGUGAAAUGUUUAGUGAGAUUUCAUCUGUCACUACAUUCCAAGUUCAAAUAUUGCCAAGGUCAACUUUGCCUUCCAUCCUUUCUGGGUCAAUAAAAUAAAGUACCAGUGAAACACUGGGGUUGAUGUAAUCGACUAUACCCUCCUCACAAAUUUCAGUCUUUGUGACUAUAUCAGAAAGGAUCAUCAUCAUCACCACCACCGCCGCCGCCGCCACCAUCAUCAUCAUUAUUAUUAUUAUUAUUAUUAUUAUUAUUAUUAAAGUGGUGAGCUGGCAGAAUCAUUAGCAUGCAGGGCAAAAUGCUUGGUGGCAUUUUAUCCAUCUACAUUCUGAGUUCAAAUUCCACUGAAGUCGAUUUUGCCUUUCAUCCUCUCAGGGUCAAUAAAAUAUGUACCAGUCAUGUACUGGGGGGUUCCAUGUAAUCAACUUAUCCCUCUCCAAAAUUGCUGGCCUUGUGCCAAAAUUUGAAACCAUUACUACUAUUAUUAUUUCAUUUUAUUUUGUUACUAGGAUCUAUUUAUAGAUACAAUAAUGUUACCAAACCUGCUACAAAAAUGUGUAGGGAUAGAUGUAGAGUCUGACAUAAAAUGGGGGCAGGCGCAAAAGGCAUCAUUCAAUGUGUUUUAAGUAUCUUACAUAUUUUGCGAUUUGAAGAUGUGUCUGUUCUGUUGUGUAGAGCAGAUGAUAGCCGUGUACGUUUGCACCGUUUCUGUUGUCUAUUUAAUCGCUUGUAAGUAUAUAUAUUGAAACAAUACCUAAUUCUGUUUUCAUCUAAGGAAGAUCUUGUUUCCCCUAAACUUUUUGACAUCUUAUAGUCUCCUACAUUUUAUUUUCAACAGUCUUUCAGCUCCACCACAUCACAGUCUGACCUUUACUACUUCAUUGCAAACAAUUUUAAUUAUAUCAAACAUGAGUUUUAUAUUUAUACAAUGGCAUUAAUACUUCACAUAAUCACAAAUAUUUAUCAAAUGAUUGUUUGACUUCAUCAUUUUAGGGUCUGCCAUUCUAGCCUUGCUAUUUGUUUCAGUUCAAACUGCAUCAAACCAUGUUAUUUUGUUAUGUCUCUGUAUAUCAACUUUCUCCUCCUCUUUUCUACGACUGAUAUUUAAGAAGGCAACAGCAACAACAAACUCAAAUAUUUCACAACUUUCUCUUCUUUACACAAUAAUUAAAUUACUAUUCAACAUUCUUUAUAAUUAUAUGUCCCCAUUGUGUUAUAGCAAAUGUACUCUACUCCCUCCCUCUCUCUCCUCCUCCUCUCUCUCUUGUACUUCUUUUUCCAGCAAUUUCAUGACAACUAGUGCUGUUUAUGUCCUUUCUUUUUCUUUCUAUUUUAGAUUAGCCAAGUUAGUGGUAACAAUGUCAGAGUAACUUAAUAUGCAGUCACUCCUCCACUUACAAUACAAGAUGCUUGCAUUAAAAUACUCCUGAGCCAACCAACGGCCCAUGUUUCCAAAAA
RNAcentral lists this long non-coding RNA (53674 nucleotides) under Octopus vulgaris (common octopus). The record is from RNAcentral. Lineage: Eukaryota; Metazoa; Mollusca; Cephalopoda; Octopoda; Octopodidae.